This 54845-nucleotide long non-coding RNA is filed under the name Coffea arabica (coffee). Its description in RNAcentral is "long non-coding RNA (CARA_LNC002165)". The record is from RNAcentral. Lineage: Eukaryota; Viridiplantae; Streptophyta; Magnoliopsida; Gentianales; Rubiaceae.
AGCAUCAAAGAAUAGCAGAGUACCUAAAUAUGGACAAAAUAGCUUUGACCUUAUAAAAUCUUCUCCACUGGAGCAAAUGGACAACCGAGGUAGGUUGGGAGGCUCAUUAAAGGUAGAGAGCUCAUCAUAUCCUCGCAGGACCUGAAGAAAUUUCUUUUCUUUAGCCUCGCCCUUACAGAACUCAAAAAUCAAAUCGUGAAUGUAACAAGUUUUGACUCCACCAAUGGAUCUGCUUUUACUUACCAUAACUAAGUUUCGACCAAUUAGGUCCAUCAGAUAUUCUUCUGCAAUGACCUCCGAUCUUUUUCCUUCAAUUUUUUCCACAAACCCUUCUGCAAUCCAUAGACGCAUCAAAUUCUUGGCACCAAUUUUUUCAUCUUCUCGAAAUGCAGCAAAAUACAGCAAGCAUGCCUUCAAGUGAUACGGUAAAUGCUCAUAACUGAGCUCCAAUGACUUCUUGCACUGGUCUGUACCAGACACCAUGGUUGAAGUUAAACUUUCAGCAAAUUCUUCCCAAACCAAACUAUCAUGCCCUAUAGUUGCCAGAACUCCAGCAACAACAACAACUACUAGUGGCAAUCCCCUGCACUUCUUGGCAAUCUUCGUAGCAAUUCCACACAAUGCUUGAGGACAAUCUUCUUUUCUAAAUACCUUCUUCAGCAGUAAUUCAAAACUUUCUUUCUCACUGAGUGGACGAAGAUUGUGAGGUUUCCCGCCAUAUUCAACCUGUGAAGCCACAUAAGAAGAUCGACUCGUGAAGAUGAUUCUACUUCCUUUCUUUUCAUCGGGGAAUGAAAUUCUCAGCUCAUUCCAUACCUUAAUGUCCCAGACAUCAUCAAAAACAACAAGAUACCUCUUCGUCUUCAGCCUUUGAUAGAGCUUGUGAAGCAAUUCAUGUUCAUUCAAGUUUUUAAGCUCUUUGUCCAUCCUUGACCGUUUUCCAUCAGAACACAAAAUUUGUAUUAACAAGCUUUUCAUGUUAAAUUCUUGAGAAACAGUGCACCAAAGACGAAUGUGGAAGUUACAGAUUACUGAACUGUCAUUGUAAACUUUUUUGGCUAAAGUUGUCUUACCAAGCCCAGCCAUUCCCACAAUAGGAACAAUUUCCACCUGUUCUGGUCCCCAUAUAAGUCGUUCAAUUACUUUUGCUGCCUCGUCAUCGAGACCAACCAUGACUUCGUGGGCUAUUGGCAUUUUACCUUUUGAUAGAAUGUGGCUGGAAGUCUUGCUAACUUCUGGUGCUCUUAAGCUGUGAAAGGAAGGAAGACUUUCAAUAAUGCUUGAGCCACUGAUCUGAUCCUUAAAAUGCUUGAUAUGGAUGUUGGUAUUAGCCAGCAUAUCAUAACAGUCAAGGGCCUCUGUUCUUUCUGAGAAGCUAACUUCUCCUUCCUUCACUCUGUUUAGAGAAGGCAAGCAAAUUAUAAUGCCUGCCUCACAAAGAAGAGCACCAAUUUUUUCGUUUUGUUCAUCCAUCUUCUCCUGCUGCUCCCUUAAAAUGCUUCUCAAGAACCUCAGUCCUGCAUAGAGUAUUCGCAUUUCAUCUUUCAAAGAAUCCAUAAAGCUAGAGCUGCAGCAUAACAGCUGCCAGAGACAACUUAUGAGAGAAUCAUUGAAGUUUUUCAAUAUCUGCUUAUCCAUCAUUCUAUUAUGCAAUGAUUUUGAGGAUCUUGUAGCUCUAAGAACUUCCAUAUAAAUCUCAUAGACUUGAAAAUCAAUAGGUGUGAUUUUCUGUUGUUGCUCAUAUAUCAUGGAGCAGAACUCAGGAUUGUGCCGCUCCUUACCAUCCCAAACAGAGCACAUGUAAAAGAGGUGUGCUGCGUUCAAAGUCACCACUUCAAAGUGAGCCAAUAGCAAGGCAGGAAUAUCUGCAGUUCCUCGCAAUUUGGCAAAGGGAAUGAAGUUUUUCAAGAAUGUUAGCUUUGCUUCAAGGGCUUGGAAUUGAGCACUAACUUGGGGAUCCAUAUCAUCAAUAAUACCCAAAUAGACAGUUGUUAAAUCCGCUAGAUUUUCUAGAAUGAGGUCUAUAAAUUCGAUUAGUUCAUCAACUGGCAUGCAAGAAUUUGAUUCCAAUGAUCUGCUGCUUGGCAAAGUAAAGUAAACUUGGAUGAUUUCUUGCUUAAAUGAUUUGAUCUGUUUCAAAAACUCAGAAAACACUUCAUAGGGAACACGACCUAGGCCACUGCCAUCAAAUGCUGAUAUAUCAUGGCAAAACGAGUACUGAAAGUCCUCCUCAUAUUUGUGAACGUUAUCUUCAAUGCAAGAUAAGAAAGAUGGAAGACUCACCUUCUUCACAACAUUCUCAGAUUCCAAGUACAAAUCAUUGCUGUGGCUCCACUUUCUUGCACACAUAACAAAUGUUUUGUGAAAUCUUAUAUCCAGGAACGCAGCUCCAAAAUUGCAUUCUUCAAACGCAUUGUACCCGAAACGGAGCAUGGAUUUUUCCUCAGUUUCACUCUCAAAUUUUAAGGGAGAAACAGAUCUCGCCGACUGCAGAGCAAGCAAGUAUUUCUUUCCUGAAAUUUCUUUUUUCCCGUGGGAAGGUGAAGAAGAGAAAUGAGAUAAUAAAUUAUUCAACAGACAAACGGAGCAAGAUCAGGAAAGAACAGAUGAAUCAAAGUUAACGAGAGAGCGGUCAAAUAAUCUGGAAAUGAUCUUGGUCUGAAUAAAGUUAAGAAAUUUUAUUGACUACUACUGCAUAAUUUUUUGGAGUUUUUUUUUUUUAAUACCCGUUUCGUUGUUGAGAAGGACCGGUCUGGCAUUGCACCCCACACUGGCUUUUCGUUCUGAAAGAAAUUUUUUUUUUAUUGGUUUUUGGACUAUUAAUGUGGCAUUGCACCCCACAUUUAGACUAUUUAUGCCGUCAAUUAUGACGGCUAAUCCUUAGACUGUUUAAGAAGCAUUUUUGCUAACUAAACCCACACUAGUUGCUCAUCCCUUCCAUCACACCCCAAUACACACACACACACACACAUAUAUAUAUAUAUAUGUAUGUAUGUACAUAGGUAGUGUCAAAAUGACACACAUUGUCCUCCGUGGUGGAAUUAGCUAAUCUUUGUGGUUACUAAAUAUUUUAUCUGGACAUUAAGGUAUUCUUGACAUUUCGUUUGGCUUCAUUGUCGUGGGCUGUUUUUGUUAUUUUGAUAUUUCAGUCCAAAAUAUGGAAAAACUUAUUUAUAAUAUUUAAAAUUAUAGAAGAUUUACAUGAAAAGUGCUGAAGCUAAAUAAAUUUAACCAAGAUUUGUGCCUUUCAUUAGGUAAGACUUUCUUACAUGUUGGCCUGGUUACCAUAGUCCAAGAGAGAAAAAGAAAAGAAAGGGGCCAAAAAGGAAAAAGGAACUUUAACUUUCAAUUGAUAGUUUCUUUCAAAAUUCAAGUAGUGUUGCUUAAUAAGUUUUACAUCCUAUGAUUGCAAACAACAUAAUUUUACAAAAUAACAAUUUUUUUUUAUCUGUAAUUGCUAAGAAAAUUGUAAAAUGACUUUAUUAGAUAAUUUUAUCGGCUCAAUGGAUUCUCUAAGUUGAAUGAAAAUAAUUACAUCUUAACAAAGUCCGCAAACCUUGAUAUAUGAACAAGCAAAACUAUAAAAUACAAGUCAAUUAACCGCAAAAAUCCUUAGUAAACUCCAUUUUUUCACCCUCCCCCCUUGUUAAGAUUGCUUGACAAGCAAUCAAUUUCACUUUACACCCUUUUGAAUGAUUUCCACUUUGCAUCUCAAAUUUUUAUUUCUGGAUAGUUUGCACUUUAAAAUUACUAAUUACCAUGAAAUUGCACCUUAAAAUUUAUUUUGGAUAUUUUGCACCUAAAGUUAAUAAUCCAUCCAAAAUUACUGUGGUUUCACACAAUAUUAAUGUCAUUGUAGGAGCAAUAUGCACCUAUACACUGGCUUCUUAACUGUAAAAGUGGGAUUGGUUCAUCAGAAUGUCCCUCAAAAAAAAAAAUUAAUAAAAGAGUGAAUACAUAUGCGUGUUAGAGCACUUUCACUUGCAAGAAGUUUGAUGACUUUAGGAUUUGAGACAGUUUAAUGAUCUGGAAUUAGCACCCACCAAGAAUGGUCUGGACUGAUCAGCCUCCUUCCUAUUAUAUUCAUCAGCAAACAAACGAAUAAAUUAUAGUGUAACCCCAUACAAUUUAGUGCAUUUUCGUAUAAUCAUAGUGUGGUAAAAUGUAUAUGACUCCACGAUUUGAAGCACAUUGUCAAAAUGACGGAUAUCGUCCUCUGCGUUGGAAUUAGUUAAAAUGUCAAAAUUAUUUAUAUUAAAACCCUAAAAUGAUUUUAUUAACUAACGUUGAAACUCUAAGAUUUAGAAGUCUUGGAAUCUAAUUCUCCUUCCUCCUCUCCGCUUUUGAAAAAGAAAUCCUAUUUCUUCCUUGUUAAAAAAAUGUUAAUAUAUAUAUAUAUAUAUAUAUAAGAUAAAUUACACUUUUGUACCUUGAAAAGUUAUUCAUAACCAUCAGGCCACUUUACCAUCCUCUGCGUUAGAUCUCCAUCAAUUCUAAUAUUAAUUUCCUUGACUAACUUUAUGUCACAUGAAUUUAAUCAAAAGUCGAUCUACUAAAGGGCCAGAUAGAAGGAUGUUGGCAGCAUCAGAAGUCUUCAACUGAUCCAACAGGCCUAUUUCUGCUGGAAUUUGACCUGUUAAUUGGUUGUUGUUAAGUAGUAGGGUAUUUAGAAAUGUACAAUUUAAAAGUUUACAGGAAUCUCACCUUUUAUAGAAACAGAUCUCACCGACUGCAGAGCAAGCAAGUAUUUAGUAUUUCUUUUGGAGUUUUUGACAAGUGAUAGGUUGCAAUUUAUCUAUUUAUUUUAUUAUUAAUUUCCUCUGUUACCUGACCCGAUGUGGAUUAAUUAUUAGAUUCUACUCAUUUUUCGUAAUUUGCAUUUAUUUCAGGGAGUAGAACGAAAAUAUAACAACGGGUGCCAAUUUGACAGAAAAGAAAUCCAGAUGAUAGAGCUUGUCCCAGGGGCAUUUUUGGAAAAGAAGAUGUCACGCCCACUUUGAUAAUUUCCGCAAAGAAAUGACGGAUGAAGGGCUUCUUCCUCCUGGUUAGGGAUGGCAACGGGGCGGGGUUGGGGCGGGGGACGAGAGACCUAUUAGUUCCCCCCGUCCCCCGCCUCCCACUCCCCCUGCCCCGCCCCGCCCCCGCCCCGCCUUGCCCCGCUUCCCCCGCGGGGGCACCCGCGUUAAUAAAAUUUUAUUAUAUAAUUUUAUUAUAAUUAAAUUUUAAUAAAUAAUCAAGUACUAAAAUAUCAACACAUCACCAAAUUAUUAUUCAUUGUAAUUUUACAAUUGAAACUCAUAAAAACAAUCAAACAGAAGUUAUUUGAAUACAAUCCAAUAUGAUGAAAUAAAUAUAACUAAAAUAGUCAAAUUUUCACUUUUAGUACAAAUGCAAUCACUAAUUCAUUAUUGUGUUUGUGCUUUUUUUUGAGAAAAAAGUGUUAUUCUAUAAAGUGUAAUUAGAAAUUUAGUAUAAAUGUAUUAGUAAAUUUAGUAUAACUAAUUAAUAAAUUCUAUUAGUAGACAUGUAUAAUUAUUCAUAUAAUUGAUAAUAUCAAUUAUAUUACAUAAAUUAAUAUACAUUAUAUAAUACAUCUAACUAAUAAUAUAAUUAUCAUAAGUUUAUAACUAAUUAACUUACAUAUAAUAUAUAGUCAUUUAUAUAUAUAUAUAUAUAUAUAUUUUUUUUUUUGCGGGUGGCGGGGCGGGGGAUGGGGCGGGGGAGUAUACCCCCGCCUCCCGCCCCGUUUCUAAGCGGGGGGAAAAAUUUCCCCCCGCCCCCGCCCCACCCCCCGCCCCAACCCCCGCCCCGUGAGCCCCCCGCGGGCACCCGCCCCCAUUGCCAUCUCUACUCCUGGUGAGCCGCCGCAAUAAAGGAGGAAAAACAGGAUCAGAUGGAGGCGAGCUUAGUUUUAGUUUUCCGUCUGUAGCUUAGCUUGAGAUUGUUGACUUUUCCCUAAAAAUGUUUUUUGCUUGUCAUACGCAUGGCAGGCAUUAGAAAUUGGUAGCUUUUGACUUUUCUUCAUGUUAAAUGCUUAGAGUUUUUCUAUCUUUCCUGGUAUGCCGUCCGUAGUGAGGCAAAGGAUCAUUUCGUGUAACUUUGCUAUCUCCUCCUGGUUGGAGCGGAUUGAGUUCUAAAAAAUCAAUGACAAUGGCCGCAGAUUUAUCUUCAAUUUCCCGUGGACUUAGUUCAUCAAAUAUGAACUAAUUUCCUUCCUACUAGUCAAGGAGCAACGAAGGCUUUGGUUCGCUUAAAAAUUAUGAGAUAGAUUUAAUUCAAUCUUUUCAUUUUAUUUAUUGGUAUCCGCAUAUUUCUUGAUUUCUAUGCUCAUGGUUAUUUAAUUAAUUGAUUGUUUUGGAUCCGGAUAACUAAUUGAUUUGGUAACCUAUCGUCAAUUAGGGCAUUAAAUCCGUAAUUGUUUAAUUGUCCUGAAAUAGUGAUAACUGGCACGAUUAGAUUCGUGUCAGGGGGAUACGCAGGCUAAUCUGAAAUAACUCUGGUAGUGCGUUAUUUGGUUAGAAUAGGGUUCCUCUAAUACGUAAGGCAAUUGGGGAAUUAAAUCUUACGGGCGUACCUAGGAUUAUUUCCUAAUUAGAGCAGUGAUUAACGGGCGUACCUUAAUCACCGACACAGUAAGGAGGAGUUGACUGUCAUCCCCUGGUUGGCAGUUAUAACCUAUUUAUUGAUAAAUAAUCGGAAUUGCCUUUAUUUCAAUGAUCAAUUAGGUGAACCAUUGCUGAAGUUACUUUUUUGCUAGAUCUUUAGUUAAUAUUACCUUGAUUUUAGUGAAGUGCCAUUUGACUUUUAGUUGCCUACUUUAUUUUAUUUUUAAUUGUUUCCUUGUUUUAAUUGAUUUAGGCCUUUAAUUAUUGUUAUUCUAAAUUCAGUGAAUUGUGGUUUAAUUUCUAGUUAGUUAUUUAUUUUUAUUUUCUUAUUUGAAUUUAUUUGAUUGCUGUCGUUCCUACAAAAUCACCCCCUGUGUUAUUUUGAAUUUCUUAAGAAACAAAUAUAUCCAGUCCCUGAGGAUACGACCCUACUUGCCCUGUCUACAAAUUCAUAAUUAUUUGUGAAAGAAAUAACCAUCCCAUUCGGGUAUAUCGGAUUAAGCAAACUCUUCGGGAACAAGGUGAAUCAAGUAACCCAUUGCACACCUAGAGUCCCUGCUCCAGUACUUGGAAUUGGGUCUUGGUCAUUUUAACUGGCAAUUAGGUUUAAUUUUAUUAUUGUGCAGGCUUCGACACCCUGUCAAUUUUUGGCGCCGUUGCCGGGGACUGGCGUUAUUAUUUGUUCCUUUUUAAAUUCAUUCUUUUUUUUUCCUUUUGCUCUAAUUUUCUGGUAUUUUUCUAGUGCAUGCCUUGGUCUUCUCGUACAGGUGAUUUGGUUUUUGACCCUGAGGUAGAGAAGACUGCGCGUAGAAUAAGAAAAGAGACCAGACAGCUCAGAGAGGAGCACUCCUGUGCUACAUCUCGGAGACCUGAGUCAGAAGCUGAACCAACAGAUUCAUUUGGUGACACUUCGAGUGACUCGGAGCAAGAAGAAAUCCCCAUGACUAAUGCACGAACAUUAAGGGAGUUGGCUGCUCCUGAUUUAAAUCAGCAGCCUUUAUGCAUUACUUUCCCAAGUUUGAGUGAAAACACUUCAUUUGAAUUGAAAUCAGGUCUAAUUCACCUUUUACCCUCUUUUCAUGGUUUACCAGGUGAAGAGCCGUAUAAGCAUCUGCAAGAGUUUGAUAUCGUAUGCAAUAGUAUGAAACCCCCGGGAAUUACAGAAGAGCAGAUAAAAAUGAGGGCAUUCCCCUUUUCCUUGAAGGAUUCUGCAAAGGACUGGCUGUACUACCUGCCACCAGGUAGCAUCACCACGUGGGACCAAUUGAAGAAAAAUUUUUUAGAUAAAUAUUUCCCUGUGUCUAUGGCUGCAAACCUAAGGAAAGAAAUUUGCGGGAUCAACUAGCAUCCAGGGGAGUCACUCUAUGAGUAUUGGGAACGGUUCAAGAACUUGUUGCACAAGUGUCCCCAGCACCAGAUAAGUGAGCAGUUGCUCAUUCAAUAUUUUUAUGAGGGGCUCCUUUUCAGAGAUAGGAGCAUAAUUGAUACUGCAAGUGGAGGGGCACUGGUGAACAAAACCCCUCGGGAAGCAAGGGAGCUAAUAGAAGGGAUGACAGAGAAUUCACUACAGUUCGGUACGAGGGAGGAUGUCCCAGUACGCAAGGUGAAUGAGGUUGAGACAUCCUCUAUCCAGCAGCAGCUAACUGAGUUGACCUCGUUUGUUAGGCAACUGGCUGUGAAAAAUGCAUCACAAGCCAGGGUAUGUGGGAUUUGUACUGGUAUGGGACACUCUGCAGAGAUGUGCCCAAUGAUUCAGGAAGAAACUGCAGAACAGGUGAACAUGACUGGUCACGCGCCCACGCCAAGAAGGGCCUAUGACCCGUACUCGAAUACGUACAAUCCCGGCUGGAAGGACCACCCAAAUCUCAGUUAUGGAAGAAAUAGGCAGCCCAACUAUGCACCGAACAGGCAGUCUAAUUUCGUGCCAAAUAAGCAACCAGGGUACCAGCAGCAAUAUCAACCCCGACCACUUCCGCCCCCGAGCUCUGGUCCAUCUUUGGAGAAGAUGAUGAAACAAAUGAUGGCAACCAUGACGCAAAAUCAGCAAAGGACGGAGGCAACCAUUAUGCAAAAUUAGCAAAGGACGGACUCUAAAAUGCAGGACAUAAGGAAUCAGAUAAGUCAAAUGGUUACAACAAUCAACCGUUUGGAUUCCCAGAACCAAGGUAAAUUGCCAUCUCAGCCUGAAUUAAAUCCGAAGAACGUGAGCGCAAUGACCCUAAGGAGCGGGAAGGAAAUUCAGGGGCUUGAAUCUGUGAUCCCUAAGGACUAGGAUGAGAAAAAGAUUGACAAUGAGCUUGAGAGGGAGGACAGCAAUGGUGCAGAUCCAAAGGUACUUCCAAACCCAAUAAUUACAGUUAAAACUAACCUACCUCCUUUUCCUAGCAGGUUGGAAAAAUCGAAAAAACAGGAUAAGAAGAAAGAGAUCUUGGAGGUAUUUCGCAAGGUGGAGAUAAAUAUCCCCCUCUUAGACGCCAUCAAACAAGUAUCAAAAUAUGCCAAGUUCUUAAGGGACUUGUGUGUCAACCGAAGGCGAUUCAGGAGAGAUGAAAGGAUCAUUGUUGGGGAGAAUGUGUCAGCGGUCCUGCAGAGGAAGCUUCCACCCAAGUGCGGGGACCCAAGUAUGUUUACUAUCCCCUGUAGAAUAGGCAACACUGUGAUUAGAAGGGCCAUGUUGGAUCUAGGAGCAUCAAUUAAUGUCAUGCCUAAAUCUAUCUAUGCUUCUCUAAAACUAGAUCCAUUAAAAGAAACUGGAAUAAUCAUUCAAUUGGCUGACCGAACUAAUGCAUACCCUGAUGGGUUGGUUGAAGAUGUGUUGGUAAAAGUUAAUGAUUUGGUGUUUCCAAUUGAUUUUUAUGUACUUGAUAUGGAUGAUGAUCACUCCCCUGAUCCCUCACCUUUGUUAUUGGGUAGACCCUUUAUGAGCACAGCACAAACAAAAAUUGAUGUUAAUAAGGGUAUCUUGUCCAUGAAAUUUGAUGGAGAAAUUGUGCAUUUCAAUAUUUUUGAUACUAUGAAAUAUCCCUCGAACUCCAAUUUUAGCUCUGUUUUUUCUGUGAGUGUUAUUGACCCUGCGGUGCAGGAAAUGUUUGAAACUGUUGGCAGGGAUGAAUUGAAAGUUGUUUUAACGAAGCAUCUCGAGUUGGAGACAACUCCUGAGGUGGAGUGGAGUGAAUAUUUAAAAUGCACGAUAGGAACACUACACUCAUUGCCAACCUCCACAAAAAGGUACGACGUUUCACCUAUAUUCAUUCCCGAACCUCACCAGAGGGUAUUGCCAUCGGUGGUGCAGGCGCCUGUUUUGGAGUUGAAGCCCUUACCAGAGCACCUGAAGUAUGCAUAUCUGGGUGACAAUGAGACACUCCCGGUGAUUAUCUCAUCGGCACUGUCAAAAACUCAGGAGGAAAAAUUGAUCCGGAUCCUUAGAGAGCAUAAAGAGGCGAUAGGUUGGACAAUCGCAGACAUUAAGGGGAUCAGCCCGGCCAUCUAUAUGCACCGGAUUAGACUGGAAGAGGAUGCUAAACUUGUUCGGCAGGCUCAAAGGAGGCUCAACCCCCUCAUGAUGGAAGUUGUAAAAAAGGAGAUUUUGAAAUUGUUAGAUGUGGGGAUUAUUUUUGCAAUAUCAGAUAGCCCUUGGGUGAGUCCGGUCCAGGUAGUCCCAAAGAAGGCAGGAGUGACGGUGGAAGCCAACCAAACAGGUGAACUCGUGCCAGUGCGCAAACCCACUGGAUGGAGGCAGUGUAUUGACUACCGUAGGCUGAACGCUGUCACAAAAAAGGACCAUUUCCCUCUUCCUUUCAUUGACCAAAUGGUUGAACGUUUGGCUUGUAGAGCUUACUAUUGCUUUUUGGAUGGAUUUUCAGGAUACUUUCAGAUAGCAAUUGCCCCAGAGGAUCAAGAGAAGACAACUUUCACAUGUCCGUUCGGGACUUUUGCCUAUAAACGAAUGUCAUUUGGGUUAUGCAAUGCACCUGCAACUUUUCAAAGAUGUAUGGUAAGCAUCUUUUCUGAGUAUGUUGAGAAAAUAAUUGAGGUUUUCAUAGAUGAUUUCAGUGUGUAUGGUGAUAGUUUUGAUACGUAUUUAGAUAACCUGAAAUUGAUCCUGAUAAGGUGUAUAGAGACUAAUCUCGUGCUUAAUUGGGAAAAAUGUCAUUUUAUGGUUGAGUACGGGAUAGUUCUGGGUCAUAUUGUAUCGUUUAAGGGCAUUGAAGUUGACAAGGCUAAAAUAGACAUUAUAUCGGCAUUACCUUACCCCGCAAAUGUACGGGAGGUGCGUUCUUUUCUUGGACAUGCAGGUUUUUACCGAAGGUUCAUCAAGGAUUUUUAAAAAAUUGGAGUCACAUUGUUCCAACUCUUACAAAAAGAUGUGACCUUUGAGUUCGAUGACAAGUGUGAAAAUGCCUUUAACAAGUUGAAAGAGUUACUGACCUCAUCCCCGAUCAUCCAACCCCCCGAUUGGGGUUUGCCAUUUGAGAUCAUGUGCGAUGCCAGUGAUCAUGCUGUAGGGGCUGUAUUUGGACAGCGAGUAGGAAAGGCAACUCACAUCAUCUAUUAUGCAUCCCGCGCCCUGAAUGGGGUCCAGUUGAAUUACUCCACCACUGAGAAGGAGUUUCUUGCAGUUAUUUUUGCUUUAGAAAAAUUCAGGUCAUAUUUGUUAGGUACUAAAGUGAUUGUAUUUUUUGAUCAUGCAGCAUUGAGAUACCUGAUGACUAAGAAAGAUGCAAAAUCGAGGCUCAUACGGUGGAUAUUGCUCAUACAGGAAUUUGACCUGGAGAUAAGGGAUAAAAGAGAUUCAGAAAAUUUAGUAGCCGACCAUUUGAGUCGUAUAUCCGUUGGGGAGGAUAAUGAACCAUUGAAGGAUGCAUUCCCUGAGGAGCAUUUAUUUUCUUUAAAUUCUCAAAUGCCUUGGUAUGCCGAUCUGGUCAAUUAUUUGGUAACUGGUAAUUUUCCUGCAAGUUGGCCAAAAUCGAAUAGGGAUAAAAUGAAAAGCGACGCCAAAUAUUUUAUUUGGGAUGACCCGUACUUAUGGAAGAGAUGUGCAGAUCAAGUGAUGAGGAGAUGUGUAAGUGAAAUGGAAUUUCAAUCGAUUUUAGUUUUUUGUCAUACUUUUGCAUGUGGGGGUCAUUUUGGACCUAAGAGAACUGCUCAUAAGGUUUUAGAAAGUGGAUUUUAUUGGCUUUCAUUGUUUAAGGAUGCCUAUGUGUUUUGUAAGUCAUGUGAUCGCUGUCAACGGGUAGGUAAUAUAGCCCGUAGAGAUCAUAUGCCCCAAGUCCCGUUGAUUUUUGUUGAAAUUUUUGAUGUUUGGGGUAUAGAUUUCAUGGGGCCUUUUCCUACUUCAUUUGGUUUUAUAUAUAUUUUGUUGGCAGUUGAUUAUGUGUCUAAAUGGGUGGAGGCCAAGGCCACUCGGACUAAUGACUCGAAAGUAGUUGCAGAUUUUAUCAGGUCUAAUAUUUUUGUGCGAUUUGGAAUGCCAAGAGUUAUUGUCAGUGAUAGGGGAACGCAUUUCUGCAACAAAACCAUAGCUGCGUUGUUUCGCAAGUAUGGUGUACUCCACAGGGUCUCAACGUUGUACCACCCCCAGACCAAUGGUCAAGCGGAGGUAUCGAAUAGGGAGAUUAAGUCCAUUUUGGAGAAAAUGGUGCGCUCCGAUAGGAAAAAUUGGAGUCAACGGUUGGAGGACGCGCUCUGGGCCUACCGCACUGCAUACAAGACUCCUAUAGGGAUGUCACCGUACAAGUUGGUGUUUGGGAAGCCGUGUCACCUUCCAGUGGAGUUCAAGCACAAAGCCUUUUGGGCGAUAAAGCAAUGCAACAUGAACUUAGAGGAAGCCGGUGCCCAACGAAAGUUGGAUUUGCAAGAAUUGGAGGAGAUCCGGAACGAAGCCUACGAAAAUGCAUUAAUUUAUAAGGAGAGAAGCCAGACAUUUCAUGAUCAACAAAUUUCAAGAAAAACUUUUGAAAUUGGUCAGAAGGUCCUCCUGUACCAAUCCAGACUCAAGUUAUUCCCAGGUAAGCUACAUUCCCGUUGGAUUGGACCUUUUGUUUUGACUCACGUUUUUCCCUAUGGCACAGUUGAAAUCCGGAGUGCUAAGACAGACAACAAGUUUGUGGUGAAUGGACACUGUCUCAAACAUUAUUACGAAGGUUUUUUGAGGGGAGAGGUGGAGACAAUAAGUGUAGACGCACCACCGUGUCCUAAUCAGUGACACUUAAUCAUGUCUAGCCAAAAACAUUAAAGAAAGGCGCUCAUUGGGAGGCAACCCAAUUGUUUCUUUUAAUUGUUUGUUUUGAUUUCUUGUGGUAGUUUAAAUAUGUUUUCCUUGAGUUUGAUUGGUUUCGGGUUUGAAAUUUUCAUUUUUGCUGAUUUGUAGGUGUUCUUCUGUCAUGACGCGCCCGCGCGAUGACGUGGGGAGCGCUCACGGUCAGAGAGUUCUCCUGCUCUCAUGACGCGCUCGCAUCAUGACGCCCAGGAAGCUCAGGGUCAGCAAGCUCUCUUGCUCUCAUGACGUGCUCGCGUCACGUUCGCGGGAAAGGUAAGGAUUCAAAAAAAAAAAAUUCUUCUUAUCACCAUAGCUUUAGUUUCCAAAAAUUCAAAAAGGAGAAAUUUUUUUUAAAAAAAAAUAAAAAAAAAAAGAAAAAUUUAAUUUCCGUACAAAAUUUUUUUUUUCUCUGUGGCUUAAAUGGAGCCUAAAGACAAGAAAAAAAAAGCCAAAACAGUUUUUUUUUCUUUUCCUUCUUUUCUUUUCUUUCUUUCCUUUCUUUUUUUUCUUUCUUCUUCUUUCUUUCUCUUUUCUUUCUUUCUUCUCCUUUGUUUUGCUCUGUCCGUCGCCCGUGCCCACCUCCAUCUCCGGCUCCACGCCGCCAACCAGCAGAUCUCCACUUCACAGCGUCACUUGCGCGCCGCCGCUGCUCUGAACAUCUCCCUCGCACGACUUUUCCCUCUUUCAGCAGCGAUCCACUUCGCAGCGCCGCUGCUGCGCGCCAGCGCUGCUCUGUGCGAGCUCUCCCUGAGCCAAACACCCAAGCGCGCGGCCUACGCUACGCCGCUACGCGCCACCGCACCCCUCCCAACUCUACCGCGCGGACUCGCCGCCGCUCUGCUCCCACCGCACGCCAGAUUGCUCCUAUUCCGGCUCCAGCUCGGUCUCCACAGGUGCGUAACACGCCUCGCCUGUGUACGCCGCCGCUGCUCACUGCUCGCGUCUCACUUGCGCGCUGCCGACUCUCCCUCCGCUACUGCCGGCCGAUUGCUCUCUCUCUGCGCGCGACCCUAUCAGACCGCCUCGCCUCUGCAAGCCGCCAGCUCUCUCACCCCACUCGCCCCUUUUACGGUGGAGGUAUUUGAGACUUGCUCACCAAUUUCUUCGUACUAAUUAAGCUGUCUGGAUUGGUAGACAAUUGUUAUUGUUGGCCGUGGGAGCUAUCCUUUGGACUAUUUAUUGUGUUUUUCUUUGGAUUUGAGUUCUUUUGUUUUGGCUUUGAUGGAUGAUUGCCCGUUCCUUUGCUCUUGGGUUGUCUGAUUAGCAUUUUUCAUUGCUAUUGAUGGUGCGUUGGCACACUGUUGAGCGUCAUCUACUUGUGGAAUCGAACCAUUGCUGUGUUUAGAGUUUUCAUUAGUGUGGGUCGGUCAUUGGGAUUGUUUCAUCUACUCUAUUGUUGACAGCCGGGGGCUUAUUGCUUGAAUUGUUGGGACUAAGGUGGCGCGAUUUCUGGGUUGUUUGUUGAAUUGGAAAGGCAUUGUGACCCAUGCAUUGUUUCUUGAAGUUGGUUAACUAAUUUUGGAUUACUGGGUGUAUUUGGUCUCUUGAUCUCACUUGCAUUCUGUUUUCAUUUCAAUUGAGUCGUUUACUGCCUUUGUUGGACCAUCUUAUUGAAUAACCUCUGCCAAUUGCUAGUUGUGGUUAUCAGUUAGGCUUCCUGUAGUUCCUGAGUAUCAUUGUUGCUUUGUUGGGAAACUGGUAUAAAUUGUGGGUGACUCUAUUGUCCAUUUGCUGGCUGAUUAACUCGGUAUUUGCUGGUUACACUGGGCGUUGGACAUUCUGCAUCUUGUUGUUCCUGCUGACUGUUGGGGAAUAUGGUGAGACCAAAAUCAUCCUCUAGGUCUAGAGCCCCUCGUUCUCAACCCCCUCCUCAAGCCUCCAUUCCUGUGAAUACAUCUACCAACCUACCUUCCUCUUCUGGUGCUCGAACCCGUUUGGGUAGGGGUAGGGGUGCUCAAGUGGAUACCCCAGCUCACUUCGGAGGGCACCUAACAUUCACUAGACCCGCCGAUCAGCAGAGAUAUGCUAAGGUCUGUGAGCGGCGUAUUAUACCUUGUAAAACUUGGGAAAAAUUAACCGUGAUGGGCCUAGGCAUACGAGAGGAGGUCGAGCAGAUGUUUACAGCUAUCGGGUGGCGCCCAUAUCUAGAUAUCUUAUGCCCCGCCUUUGUCAAGCUGACUCGGGAGUUUUAUUCUACCUUUGAGUUUGAGUUGCCCACGAGGUUCACCGUUGAAACGCCCAAUGUCAUCCGUUUCCGUCUGAUGGGUCGGGAAUUUAAUUUUUCAAUUACCCAAUUUAAUUUGGCAUUUGGAUUCAUUACUCGAGAGUAUGCUGAGACUAGGGAGUAUGGUGAGAGUGCCUGCGAUUACAUCGAGCCUUUUCUCUCCCGCUACCGCGCUGUGUGGGAAGACAUGUCUACCGAUCGGCACCGAUACGACCCUUCUCGGUCUAGGGGCUCCUUUCUUAAGGACCCUAGCGCCCGAUACGUCCAUCGAUUCUUAGCCUACAGUUACUCCGGUCGGAAGGACAGCUCUGGCAUUCUCUCUCGACCUGAGUUUUUCUUCAUCUGGAGUAUGAAGAAUAACAUCAAGGUCAACUUGGGGUGUUGGUUGGCGGCGCAGUUCAAGACCGUCUUAACCAAAAAGAACAAGCCCCUGAUCCUUGGGUCCUAUAUCACCCACUUGGCAACACAGUUGGGGGUUCUUAACCUGGAGGACCACGACUUACAUUUGGCGUGCGAGAUGGGGCUCUUGGACGUAGAUUGCUUGGAGAAGAUGGGAGUCGUCGAGCGCCUGCCUGAUGGUUCCUACCAGUUCACUCCUCCGGGACCACCUAGAGCUCCGGGUGCGCACCAUUCGUCCCAAGCAGGGCCCUCCUCAUUUUCGGGGUCAGCCGAGGACACGGCUGGGCCAUCUUCUUCUGCGCCACCUCCACCACAUGGGACGACUGAGUGGCAGCAACUCCGGGAGCAGGUUCAGACUUUGGAGGCUCGGAUGGUCAACGUGGACGCCAAUGUCGCCGGCAUAGCACAGAAUUUGGCGCAGUUUCUGCUUCAUACAGGCUAUGCACCUCCGUUUCCACCUCGCCCCCCACUAUGACCCGGUUUCAGGGAAGUUUCGUUGUCUUCUCCCUCACUUUUGCUGUUUAUUUGACACAUUGAGAACACUGUGUCCUAUAGGUGUGGGGGGGUCUAGAGUCUUUUUAGUUUUUAAUAGUUUUUAGUUUCUGUGUUUUUAGCUUUUAAUAGUUUUUAGUUUUUAGUAGUUUUUAGUUUUAAUAGUUUCUAGUUCUACUUCUAGUUGCUUAUUUUCUUCCUUUCUGCUUGGGUGCUCAUCUCUCAUGCGGAUGAAAAAAAAAUGAUGUUGGUUUAUUGACUCUGAUUCUACUUUUACCAAGUUUUUCUUUUUAAAUAAACAUGUAUCGGGCUAAUGUGGUGGGGUCCAAGAUAUCUCCUUGGUGAAUAUCGGAUUGCUUGGUUUUUUUUAUUUCUUUGUUAACUUUUUUAGGCAUUGGGAAUGACUGUUGGCAUUUUAAUGUGAACUGGUCCAAUAUUGAUUCCAGUUCUCCAUGUUUGGCAAUAAUGAGGCGAGCUGCUCCUAUGCUUAGUUGCUAGUGUUGGUAUUUCGCGUUUUUGCAUUGUUUGGCUGUGAAUAAGUUUGACUGUACUCCGCUAUUAAGUUACUACUGAGUAACCGGGAAUCUGCACCUAAAAGUGUCGAUUCUCGCGUCAAAAGGUGGUGCUUUCUAUGAGUACGUGGUCGUAUAGCGGUAGGAGCUGAGUAACCGGGUUCAUUCAUCUAAAAAUAUUGGAGUUCGCGUCAAAAGGCCCCGACGGCUAAAGACUAAGUCUUUUUGUGUUAAUUAUUAUUGCUAUUAAAAAAAACAAAACACAGAAAACGGAAAAAAAAGGGGAAGAAAAAAAAAGGGAGAAUAAAUAAUAGGAGAGCUUGCCGGUUUAUGGACUUAAUAUGCAGACUCGUGUGAAUAUUUGGAUCAUUAGCUGAUAAAUGUGGUGUGCCAUUCCUUUUUCUUAGAUUAGCUAAUUUAGAAAUUGAAGAAAUUUGUGGUUUAGAGGCUAACCGGGGGGAUGCUUCUCGGAUUUUAAUCACUAGUGCUCGAUAUAUGAUUCUUCCUGAUAUCUUGGCAAUUUGGUGGAUAGAGCAAUGGCCAUUAUCAAAUUUUGGGGUCUGUGCACUAUUCUUAUGCUUGAGGACAAGCACGGUUUAGGUGUGGGGGGAAUUGAUAGGUUGCAAUUUAUCUAUUUAUUUUAUUAUUAAUUUCCCCUGUUACCUGACCCGAUGUAGAUUAAUUAUUAGAUUCUACUCAUUUUUCGUAAUUUGCAUUUAUUUCAGGGAGUAGAACGAAAAUAUAACAACGGGUGCCAAUUUGACAGAAAAGGAAUCCAGAUGAUAGAGCUUGUCCCAGGGGCAUUUUUGGAAAAGAAGAUGUCACGCCCACUUUGGUAAUUUUCGUAAAGAAAUGAUGGACGAAGGGCUUCUUCCUCCUGGUGAGCCGCCGCAAUAAAGGAGGAAAAACAGGAUCAGAUGGAGGCGAGCUUAGUUUUAGUUUUCCGUCUGUAGCUUAGCUUGAGAUUGUUGACUUUUCCCUAAAAAUGCUUUUUGCUUGUCAUACGCAUGGCAGGCAUUAGAAAUUGGUAGCUUUUGACUUUUUUUCAUGUUAAAUGCUUAGAGUUUUUCUAUCUUUCCUGGUAUGCCGUCCGUAGUGAGGCAGAGGAUCAUUUCGUGUAACUUUGCUAUCUCCUCCUGGUUGGAGCGGAUUGAGUUCUAAAAAAUCAAUGACAAUGGUCGCAGCUUUAUCUUCAAUUUCCCGUGGACUUAGUUCAUCAAAUAUGAACUAAUUUCCUUCCUACUAGUCAAAGAGCAACGAAGGCUUUGGUUCGCCUAAAAAUUGUGAGAUCGAUUUAAUUCAAUCUUUUCCUUUUAUUUAUUGAUAUCCGCAUACUUCCUGAUUUCUAUGCUCAUGGUUAUUUAAUUAAUUGAUUAUCUUGGAUCCGGAUAACUAAUUGAGUUGGUACCCUAUCGUCAAUUAGGGCAUUAAAUCCGUAAUUGUUUAAUUGUCCUGAAAUAGUGAUAACUGGCACGAUUAGAUUCGUGUCAGGGGGAUACGCGGGCUAAUCUGAAAUAACCCUGGUAGUGCGUUAUUUGGUUAGAAUAGGGCUCCUCUAAUACGUAAGGCAAUUGGGGAAUUAAAUCUUACGGGCGUACCUAGGAUUAUUUCCUAAUUAGAGCAGUGAUUAACGGGCGUAUCUUAAUCACCGACACAGUAAGGAGGAAUUGGCUGUCAUCCCCUGGUUGGCAGUUAUAACCUAUUUAUUGAUAAAUAAUCGGAAUUGCCUUUAUUUUAAUGAUCAAUUAGGUGAACCAUUGCUGAAGUUAUUUCUUGGCUAGAUCUUUAGUUAAUAUUAUCUUGAUUUUAGUGAAGUGCCAUUUGACUUUUAGUUACCUACUUUAUUUUAUUUUUAAUUGUUUCCUUGUUUUAAUUGAUUUAGGCCUUUAAUUAUUGUUAUUCUAAAUUCAGUGAAUUGUGGUUUAAUUUCUAGUUAGUUAUUUAUUUUUAUUUUCUUAUUUGAAUUUAUUUGAUUGCUGUCGUUCCUACAAAAUCACCCCAUGUGUUACUUUGGAUUUCUUAAGAAACAAAUAUAUCCAGUCCCUGAGGAUACGAGCCUACUUGCCCUGUCUACAAAUUCAUAAUUAUUUGUAAAAGAAAUAACCAUCCCAUUCGGGUAUAUCGGAUUAAGCAAACUCUUCGGGAACAGGGAGAAUCAAGUAACCCAUUGCACACCUAGAGUCCCUGCUCCAGUACUUGGAAUUGGGUCUUGGUCAUUUUAACUGGCAAUUAGGUUUAAUUUUAUUAUUGUGCAGGUUUCGACACCCUGUCAACAGGUUGCCGAGUCUGUGCAAUAAUAAUUUUAAUUAUCCUAAGUGCCAACUACGCACUUUCGUGUCAAUUCUAGUAUUGGAGCAAGGACUCUAGAUGUGCAAUAUGUUACUUGAUUCACCCUGGUUCCGAAGAGUUUGCUUAAUCCGAUAUAACAGAAUUUAGUCACGAGAAAUUUAUAAUAUAUAUAUAUAUAUAUAUAUAUAUAUAUAUGGCAAACAGGAUCGUAUUCUCAGGGACUGGAGAUAUUUGUCUCUUUGAAAUUCCAAUCGGCAAUAGGGGGUUUUAUCGAAAUAAAGAUAAAAACAAUUAAGCAAUUCAACCAAAGACAAACAAUUAACUAAUACGAAUGUAGAUAGGAAUUAAAUUAAUAAUAGACAAAUUCUAGCCAAAGAUACAACUUCUCAGACACAGUCCGUUCAUCCGAUCAUUGAUGCAAGGGCGGGUUCACUUAAUUUAUUAAUAAGUUAGUUAUAAUCGCCAACAAACUCUGACGACCAGCUUUUCUUUAGUUUAUUGAUAACCAAGGUACGACCAUUAGUUACCCCUAACCAGGAAACACUCCUAUGUACGACCGUAGGAGUGAAUUCCCUAAUUGCACUAAGAAUUAGAAGAGCCUAACCCUAAUCAAUAACACGCUACGAGGGUUAUUUAGAUCAGAUCGCACGUUCCUCUAGUGUGUAUAAACGCUAGUUGCCACUGAUAUUAAUCGAUUAAAUAAUUAUGGAUUUAAUUGAUUAAUUUGGUAGGAAAUUAACAAGUCACCUUAAAUAUCGGGUCCUAGACAUCCAAUUAACAAAAUAAUUUCAUAGAAAUUCAAGUAAAAAACGUGCAAAUAUCAACGUAUUAAGGAAUGCGUAAAAACUAAUACGAUCUCAUAGAUAUUCGGGACCGCAUCAUCGCAUUGAUUUUUGACCAGAUGAAAAGCUUAACUACACCUCAUGAGAAAAUUUCCACUCAAUUCAAUCGAUUUCAAAGGCAUCUGCCUUUUUCUCUAAUAAUCAAGAAUAAAAAUUGUUUUGCAGUCGACCCCCAAUAGAAAGAACGGAAAAAGAAGCAAAAACGAAAGCUGUCUUCCUAACAAAGGAAUUCCCCCUUUUUCAAGGGAGCCUGUUUGACUCGUUGUUCCCCCUUUUCCGAAUCCCCGGGGACUAAUUACAAAGAAUCCUGUUUUUUUUUUCUUGUUUCCUCCUGGUAACGCACCGCUUGGCCACCAGAAUAGGAAACUGUCUUCCAAUUGGAGUCGGGCUUGCAACUCUUUGUAGAUUUGCACUUCUCGUCCUUCACUUUUCAGAAUCUUGUACUCCAUCCCUGCAAUUGUGUCCAAAUGCCAAUUAUAAGUAGAAUCCGAUAAUUAACAAAAUAUUUGGCACAAAUAAUGAGGGAAAUUAACCAGAAAAUGACUAAUAAUUAUGACCCUAUCAAUUUUUUUAUACUCAUUAGGUUGCUGAGAAGAAGGACCUGCACCUCACAUUUGCCUUUCGUUUUGAAAGAUUCAAGGAAAGAAAAUUUUAUUGUUUUUGGACCAUUUAUCCUCGUAUUUCUGGGGAGCACCCUGCAUCUGCACCUAGGCUCUGUUUUUUUUUUUUGUGAUUUGAGACACUUUGAUGAUUUUACCGUCUAAAGCGUGUAGAAUAAAAAUUAAUUCCACUUCUUACCAUGAUGCAACCAUUGAGUAGGAAAAAUAAAUAAGGACUUUAAGUUAAACAGAAAUUUCCGACAUCACAAAACUGAUUCUGUUAAGAUAUGCUUAUAUUUUAAUUUUCUUAAAUAAAGUUUUUCUUUAUAACUCCACACACUUUUAAUGUAAAGUUAUGAUUAAUGCGCGAUAAUAUGCACCAUUAUAUUGGCUUCUCAGUUAUGCUGGGGAUUUAUUUCCAAACAAAAUAUUAUCAUAGUUUCAGAAAAUGUACAAAAAUUAUGUAAGGGCCAAUUAUGUCUAUAUAUAAAGCCAUCAAAUUCGAACUACCCUGAUGCAAGAACAUAUGAAAAAGAAAACUUGAUAAACUCACACUUCAGAAAACCAAGAGUUCGAAUUAUUUAGCAAAUUGUAGGAUAAAUUAGAUAUAACUCCCCUGAUGCUAGAACAUAUGAAAAAAAAGAGUAGAUAAACUGCACUUUUGGAAACCAAGAGUUUGAGUUAUUUAGCAAAUUGUAGGGUAAAUUGCAUAUAACUCCCCUAUAGUUUUGCACAAUGUCAGAUAAUUCAUCUAAGGUAUCAAAAUAGCCACGUGCUCUAUUUUAUGUAAAGUGGAAAAUAGACAAAAUACAUUAAUUAGUUACGGCGAUUAAAUCACAUGUGCUCUAAAAGUGCGUAUGAUAAAAUUACACUAUUCACUUAACUCUCUUAUGAUUUGCAUAAAUAUCUACUUUACCCCCUCAUGAUUUUUGCAUUUAUCCUCGUAAUCCCCCUACGAUUUUAUAUAAGGUGACUAAUUUGUUGUUUGAUUUAACAUUUAAAUAAGGACACUGCUGGUACUAUGCCCUCGGGGUAAUUUUGGUAUUCAAGUUAUUAUAGAGCAUAGGCUUUGGAUCUUUAUGUCAUCCUUAACCAAAAAAAGGGGCAAGUGUGGAGUAUCUAAAGCUUUUCUGAAGUGCAAAUAUCAUUUGCUUUUUCCAAAUUGACCUCAACUUAGUAAUUAAGUGACAAUGAAGUUUUUACAUUUCAAUACGGUUUCUUAAGCAAUGUACUGAGUAACAUAAUUACUUGGGUAUCUGAUGACAAGUAAGCAACGCAUAUUACCUCCACGUAGAUGUUAUUUUUUUCUACUGCAAGAUUUAGAGCACAUAAAUUCUUCUAUUAAACCGAAAGACUACUUGAUUGUGUCUGGAAAAAAAUCUUUCGUAGUUAAAUUAGAUAGGAGCUUACAACAUCACAAUAAUAAUUUAUUUAGCACGAGUAAUGAGUUGCUUGCUUAGUAUAAGGGAAAAAUACAAGUGAUAAGUUUCUCAAUAGAAAUAAUCUGAAAAAAAAAAAAUUCCCUCGAAAAAGUUGAAGGUAGAACGGCAUUAUCAGAAAGGGCAUUUGGAGGCAUAUCAAAGUGGUGGGCUCACUGCUUCUAAACCUUUACAAUUGGGCCCUAUUUAUGUAGAAUUGUUACAAUUGCUUGAUUCGGGUCCCUGUUUUCCUCAAGAAGAACUAUGUUCUUUCCUCACCUUUAUUUUCUCAUUUGACCAAGAUGGCGUUUGGUUAGAGAGUUUCAGGAUGGAGAAUUAGAAUAAAUCCCAUAAUUAUUAUUUGGAUUACUACUAUCGAAAUCGAGAUUUUGGAAUCAUACCUAAAAAUUUAGAAUUCCUUAAUUCCCUAGUAAUUUGGAGGGUUUUGGAUAAAACCCAACUCUGAUUCCCAUUUGGAAAUGGGAACCAUCCCGCCACCCAUUAAAAAAAUUAAUAUAUAAUAAUAUACAUAUAUAUAAUUAUGUAUAUAAUAUAUAUUAUAAUUAUAAUAUUUAAUUAUAAUUAUAUACUUUAUUAUAAUAUUAGUAUAAUUAUAUAAUAUAUUUAUAAUUAUUAUAUAGGCAUAUAUAAUAUAUUAUAUAAAUAUAUUAUAAUUAUUUAAUUAAAUGUAAUUAUAUUUAUAUACAAUAUAUUAUAAAUUUAUUAAUAUUAUAUAAUAAUAUAUUUAUAUUAUUUAUAUAUUUAUAAAUGUAUAUUUUAUAUGCAUAUAAUUAUAGUAUAUACAUGUAUAUAAUAAUAAUAUAUUAUAUAAUUAUAUUUAUUUUUGUUAUUAUAAAUAUAAUAAAAACUAUAUUUAACAUAUAAUAUACUAUAUAAUAUAUAAUAUUAGUAUAAUUAAUAUUUAUAUAUAAUUAUAUAUUUAUAUUUAUAUUAUGAUGUAUACAUAUAUACAAUAUACAUUAUAAUUAGAAUAUUUUAUUAUAAUAUUAGUAUAUUAUAGAAAUAUAUAUUAUAAUUAUUUAGUUAAAUAUAAUUAUAUUUAUAUAAUAUAUAUUAUAAAUUUAUUAAUAUUAUAUAAUAAUAUAUUUAUAAUAUAUACGUAUAUUUAUAAAUGUAUAUUAUAUGUGCAUAUAAUUAUAAUAUAUACAUGUAUAUAAUAUUAGUAAAUUAUAUAAUUAUAAUUAUAAUUAUUAUUUUAAAUAUAAUAUAUAUAAUUAUUAUUAUAUUUAAUAUAUAAUAUACAUUAUAUUUAUAUAAAAAUUAGUAUAAUUAAAAUUUAUAUAUAUUAUAUACUUAUAAUUAUAUUUAUAUUAUAAAUUUUGUAUAAUUAUAUUUAUUUAUAUAUAUAGCAUUUAAUUUAAUUAGUUACAAACGUAUAAUAAUGAUAUUAUUAGUUAUAUGUAUUAUAUAAUGUAUAUUAACCUAUGUAAUAUAAUUGAUAUUAUCAAUUAUACUAAUAUUUAUACAUAUUUACUAAUAGAAAUUAUUAAUUAUUUAUACUAUAUUUACUAAUACAUUUAUACUAAUAUAUUUAAUUAGUGAAAAUUUCUUAUAUUCCAUUUACAAAAAGUCAACGAACCAAACAUCAACCAUGGGUCGGGCUGUGCACCGGGCCAGUGAAAUGGAAAUCGGUGCAGGCGGUGUCUUGGAACCGCCCUCCGUUGCACCAUGUCAAGUUGAAUACCGAUGCUAGUGUUGCUCACAAACGUGCGUAUGGGGGUGGUUUGCUUCGCGACUCGGACGGCCACUUAAUUUUUGCCUAUUAUAAGGAGUUCGGGGAGUUGGACGUCCUGCUGGCAGAAAGUGCAUCAUUGCUGCAUGGAUUUCAGCUUUGUAGGGACCUAGCCACGGGGCCCCUGCUGGUGGAGGUGGACUCUAAGAGCUUGGUUGAUCUUCUCAAUACGGGAGCGACGUCCCGUUGGCCUUUGUGUAACACGUUGCGUCGCAUCCGAGCGCUGCUUUCCUCACUUUCGGCAACAGUAUCUCACAUCUUUAGGGAGGCAAAUGCAUCGGCGGAUGCGCUCGCUGGGUUGCGGAUGUCGUCGGAAUUAUUUUGCACUUUGCUUCCUCAGCUUCCGCAUUUUGUGCGGGCUACAGUAUGCCUAGACAGCCGCGAGUUCUCUUCCCUGCGUUGGCAACCCGGAUAGGUCUUGUAUCUGUGAUAGGCUUAACUUAUGUACUCCAAUGUUUCAUCCUACCGUGUACUCCUCUGCUUCCAAUCAAUAUAAGUAACUUCGUUUAAAAAAAAAAAAACUAUACAUUUAAAAACUAUAGUAACGAUCUACAUUCCUGGCAUUGAACCAAACAAAUAUAUUGAAAUCAUUGAUUUCAUUUCAAAUCUAGGAUGAAUGAUUCCGAAUCCGAAUCUGAUUCCAAUAUGCGAACCAAAUGCCACAUAAAAGUUAAAUCUCCCGAGGAUAUGGGCCGAGCAAUGACUGCCCAAGAUAGGGAUAAAUAAGCUCUAAUGACCAGGUCGUGAACAUUCUUUUGGUUGCAUAUCUAACAAAUCACCGCUGAAAACCCUAUCAAAAUUAUCUUACAUGGUGUUUUUAAGCUUCAAAUGAAAAUUGAUAAGUUUAUAACUAAAAUUUGUAAGAUCUAUUUUGAUGAAAUUAGCAUAGGAGCAUAAGCGUUGCACAUGGUGGGCAUUUGUUUUAGGAAUACGUACUAAGAUAAUUUUUUAAAAUUAAUUAAAAAGAAUAGAAAUUUAACUAUUUAAAUUUCAUAUUGCUAUCAAUUUUCUCCUCCAACAAAACAUAUAAAUUAUUUGUUUAACAAAACCUUGUCAAUAGUACGCCUGAGUAGCAAAGUAUAGAAAAAGGGGUAGCUAUAUUGCCAAAACAAUUAUGUUCUUGCCAGAGCAAUUUCACUCUAAAUAAUAGUAAUACCCUCACAAACCAAGAGUACCCAUAUUUUGUAUUGUAUAGAUCCACGGAAUAAAACAAGCGCCAAAAUUGAAAACCAAUUUAAAGUGGGAUUUGGCUCAUCUCUAGUUGAUUCUCUCUCCAUUUUUCGAAGUACUCAUCUAGAUGUAUGACACGUAUCUUCAUUUAUUAACAAGAGUUAGGAUUAAUUAAAUUUAAAUUGACCAUGUCCCUUCUUAGUAAUUCAAGACAUGUGUCAUACAUUUAAACUAGUGUGAAUACCCGUGCUACGCACGAUGCUUACGUUAUUGAAAUAAAUUAAAAGAUUAUAGUAUUUUAAUUUGAAAAAAGUUAAAAAAAUUAUGCCAACAUAAUUAAAAUUUAAUAUUUGUCUAACAAUAGUUCAAAGUAUGACAAAAUCAGUAGAUCAUUCAAGAAUUGCGUUUUUGCGAAAGAUGGAUUUUAAAAUAAUAAUAAAAAUUUAUAUUACAAAAUGAAUGAUAUAUGGAUAGAAAUAAAUGUAAUUGCAUGUUUUAUUUGAUUUCAAAAUGAAAUACUUACAAACAUUGUGCAUUCGAUUUAAUAAUCUUGUUCAAAGGUGCAAACAUUUUUUACAUCAAUCAACUUUUUGUAUGAAAAUUAAUAUUGGUGGUUUAAUUAAUUCUAUUAAAUUUUGUAGAGUUCGUACUACAAAAAAAUGUUGAGUAAGACUUGUAUUUCUUGGAAGUGAACUUGCUGAACCUUUUUAAAAUAUUUCAUUGGGAUCACUAUGGUAUGAAAUUCGUUUUGUAAUCAAUUAUUUUUUUCUUUGUAAUCUUGCAGGUUUGGAAUUAAGACGCCAUUGAAAUUAAAUGAUGGAACCAAUGGGGGCUAAUGGAGGCCAUAGCCCUCCUCCCCAAGUUUUAAAAAUUUUAAUUCAUAUUAUAUAAAUAUUUGUGUAAAAUAAAGUUGGCCCUCCUAAUUUUUUUACAAUUUUAGUUUGUAUUAUGAGAAUAUAUAUAUAUAUAUAUAUAUAUAUAUAUAUAUAAGUAUAUAUGUGUGCGUGUGUGUGUGAAUUAACUACAUUUGAAUUAAUAUUUGUACUUAAAAAAGUUAUUUAUUUUUUAUAUCCCUUUAUAAUUAAAGUUAAUAAUUGAUAUUUUUAGAUGUCAUAUAUUUAAAUAGAUGAAAAUUAUUUCAAAAUAAAAUACUUAAAAACAUUAAGCAUUCGGUUUGAUAAUUUUGUACAAAGAUACGAGCAUUUUUUACAUCAAUCAACUUUUAGUAUGAAAAUUAAUAUUGGUGAUUUAAUUAACUCUAUUGAAUUUUGUGGAGUUAAUACUAUAAAAAAAUGUUCAGUAAGACCUGUAUUUUUAGAAGUAAACUUGCUAAACCUUUUUAAAAUAUUUCAAUAGCAUCAGUAUAGUAUAAAAUUCGUUUUGUGAUCAAUUUUUUUCUCCUUUGUAAUCUUGUAGUUUUGGAAUUACGAUGCCAUUGAAAUCAAUGAUGGAACCAAUGGGGGCUAAUGGGGGCCAUAGUUCCCCCUCCCCCAAGUUUUAAAAAUUUUAAUUCAUAUUGUGUAAAACAAAGUUAGUUUUCCAAAUUUUUUACGAUUUUAGUUUAUAUUAUGAGAAUAUAUAUAUAUAUAUAUGUACAUAUGUGUGCAUGUGUGUGUGAAUUAACUACUUUUGAAUUAAUUUUUUCUUAAAAAAUUAUUUAUUUUUUACAUCCCUUUAUAAUUAAAAUUAAUAUUUGAUUUUUUAAAUGUCAUAUAUUUACAUAAAUAAAAAUUAUUUUGAACAUAACACAUAAAAUUAAUUUCGUGAUACUACAAAAAAGUGUUCAGUGAGACCUGUGUUUCUUAGAAGUGAACUUGCUGAGCCUUCUUAAAAUAUUUAAGUGAGAUCACCAUAGUGUAAAAUUCGUUUUGUGAUCAGUUGUUUUCUCCUUUGUACUAUUGCAGGUUUGGAAUUAAGACGUCAUUGAAAUCAAUCAUGGAACCAAUAUGGGCUAAUGGGGCCCAUAGCUCCCCUCUCCCCCAAGUUUUAAAAAUUUUAAUUCAUAUUGUGUAAAUAUUUGUGUAAAACAAAAUUAGUCCUCCUAAUUUUUUAUAAUUUUAGUUUAUAUUACGAGAAUAUAUAUGUAUAUAUGUGUGCGUGUGUGUGAAUUAACUAUCUUUGAAUUAAUUUUUUUAUUAAAAAAGUUAUUUAUUUUUAACAUACCUUUAUAAUUAAAAUUAAAAUUUGAUAUUUUUAGAUGUCAUAAAUUUAAAUAGAUGAAAAUUAUUUUAAACAUAACACAUUAAAAUAAUUAUGUUAGGAAAAAUUUUAGCCCCUCUAGAAAAAAAAUCUUAGUUUCGUCACUGAUUGAAAUAUUUGUAAGUGAGAUUUAUCCAUGGUGAAUGUAUGAUACAUAAUUUUUUUAACUGUAUUUAAUUUAUAUGAUGACAAAUGAAAUGGGUAAAUUAGAUUAGUGAUCAUAAGUUUUAUAAAUGAUUAUGAGAAUAAAAUAUAUUAUGACAAUAAGAUACGUUGAAUUGUGAAAAUUGUAAUUUAAACAGGCUCCUAAAUUUUGGAUAUGUGACUUUUGUGAGAACCCGUAAUUUUCCAUUUUCUAGGUUUAUUAUAUUUUCAAAGGCUUGUUUUUUGCAUUUUCGUGAUUAGAAAAAUUUCUAGAUAUUUUUAAGGAGUAGAUAGAGUUUUUAGGUGAUUUUUCUAGUAUCGAAUAGUUUUUGAGAAAUUAAGAGCUUAUACCAGACGUGGGACCCACUAGUGCGAAAAGUUCGGAAAAAUUCGGCCAACUAGGUUAAGUUUUGGAUACUGGGUUUAAAUUAUCGGGUGUUAAGAGAUAAGUAGAGGUUGCUAUUUGGAUUGGUUUGAGAGGAAACAAAAAGGAUAGAGAUGCAUUAAUUAGGUGACAAGUGUCACUUGGCUAUUGGAUUGAACUUUUGACUACUAUUCCAUGUCUUACCAUUUGACUUAAUAAACUAAAACUUUACCAAAAAUUACUCCAUUUGCAAGCUCAAAGGGCCGGCUCUCUCAAGCAAGGAAAGAAAGAAAACCUCUUCAAUUUCUUGAUUCCCUCUUGCUCAAAUCCAAUCACUCAACCAUCUACUCUUAUUUUUGUUCCAUAGAAACCCUUAAGGGAGUGGUUGUGAGUUGUUUUGUGGAGUUAUUUGGAAAGCUAAAGUGGUUAAUUGCUCUCUCUCUUGUUUUACCAAGGUGAGUGGUCAAGGACUCCUUUCCUCCCUCUAAUAAUGUUUAAUUCAUGCUUGGUGAUAGUAUGAGAUGCAAGUUUAUGGAUUAAUCUUGAUUUUUGGUUGAAUUGGUGAAGUUUUAUAAUUAUUGGUGACUUUUCUGAUUUAAUAUGAAUAUGAUUAUGUGGGCAUGUAUGAUGAUUGGAAUUGGUAUGUAAUGAAGCUAGGAGGUGGAAAAAGUGGUUAAUUGUAAGAAAUUUCUGUUUUGGAAGAAAAUUGAAAAACUAGGGUUUCAAAGUUAUACAUUCUGCCCGGUUUUGUAACUCAUGGUUAGAGGCCGAAUUGGUUUUGGGUUAAAACAUGAAAGUUGUAGGGAAUGCUAUUUUAGGGGUGCCUACAAAAUUUCAGGUCAAUCGGAGUAGCGUAGCUUGAGAAAAGUCGAAAUUACCCUUGCUGUCCUGGUUUUACCCGAAUUUGAGAAUUGCGUCUGUAAUUGGUUAUUUUGGUUAGGAAUGCUUCAGAAUUGGUUGUUGAGGUCUUCUGAUAAAAUGUAUCCCUAUUUCUAAGCUUUCGGAUGGCUUUGGAAUUACUGGAUUUGGACUUAGGUAGCUUGUUUUAUGAUGUUUACACCAGAAUGCGUUUUGUGAAUCUGUUUUUCCGGUUCUGGUGUAGUAUCUUGCAUUUUUGACCUUGUUACACUCGAAACUGGACAGAGUUGCCUUCUGGAACAUUGUAGCCCUAUCUCUUAGCUUCGAAACGGUAGGUCUUGCACCUUCAUCUGAUAAUCGUAGUGCCUUUGGUGCCAUUACCGCAAGAUGAUGUCAAAAACUGUUUUUUUGGUUUAAAGUUUAACUUUCAUUUCCGGACUUUUCCCUAGCUUGAAUUGUACCUGUACUACUUGGAGCUUACUGAAUGACUAUUGAAUGAACUUAUUUUGUGUGUGCCUUUGGGAGUGAUUGAGGAAAACAAAAGAAGCCUUGAUGGCUGGAAAAGUAAAGAGAGACAAGGGGAAGUGCUGUCCAAAUGUUUGCAAGAGCUUCUGCGCAGUCUCGGGAGAUUUGCUAUAUCUUGAUGUAGAAAUGUUGGAAUUAAGUUCCGUUUGUUGCGUUUUAAACUAGAUUCAUAGGGCUAUAAACCAUGAAAAUCUCAGAUCCUGUUUCUAUUUUUCCAAUUUAUGGUGAUUUUUCAAAGUUGACUAAAAUCUUGUACCUGUUCUGUCCUCCACUGGAUAAAGCAAUAACUUGCGGCUUGAAUUCGACUGACUUACAUUCUAAGUCUUACAAUAGUGUUUUCUGGAAAGUUAUAGCCUUUUGAAUUUAUUUUCCAACGGUAUAACUUUUAUUAAUUUUGGACUUACAAAACUUGAGAUAUGAUUUUUCAUAUAAGGUCGCGCGGAACUGGAAAAAUUCUGUUUUCCUAGUAUUGAUCUUGCUUUCAUUAUCUACUUCAAAUUUGGAUUUGGUCAGUCAUUGUAGGAAGGGCUUUGAGGUUGUUCAUACUUUUAAGACUAAUUGUUACCUUUUCACUCCGAGGUCGCCUCUUUACUUUGCAUUAAUGGUUCGUUUGACUAGGCAUAUGGCUCGUAACCGAGUCUCACUUGCGAAUUCCAUACUCAGUCUUGGAGUCGAGUCUUAAGUGUUUGCCUUGAUUGUUCUAGGAGGUAACGACGAGUGAAGCCACACUUGGGAAGGAAACUUUUGAAAUUAUCCUUGUUUAAUCAGGUGAGUGUACCACUCCCCUGAGUUAUUGUUAAACUGGUUUUCUGUACUUGCAACUUGCUACUUGAAUAUCUUUCCUGACCGUUUAUCUUGUAUGAGACGAGGGUGUACUUUAUCACACUCGUUUGCUUGCCUGUACUGAACAAACUGGAAUCUGUUACUUGUACUUGUUAUGUACUUGAAUUUGUUACUUGCACUUGUUAUUCGAUCGUUUGAAAGUGUGUCCACGAUCGUCCUGUUAAACUUGAUCGUCCUGUUAAACCUGAGCUCAACCUCAUGGGGAGUUAAUUAAAUCGAGCCAUGCAAGGGUCUGGUCGAGAAAAUUGACAAUCCGUGGGUGCCUGUUUUUAUGGAAUCUUUGAGUAUUGAGACUCUUGAUUACGGUAUACUCGAGUAUUACCAUUCCUGUUUUAUUUGGCGUUCGGGCCCGGUAAGGGGUAUGAAUGGUGAACGGGAUUCGGCGUUAAAGCGGUGUUCUACUGGAUUGGUUUUCUUUAGUUGGAAGUUGAUGGAGGGUCAACGUAGUCGGAUCAAGUACUGCAACGGGAAAUUGGCUCCUGAGAGCCAUCUGUAUCCUUUCUGUCUAAGUUGUUUAUAUAUCUCCUUAUUUGGUACACCUAUGUGAUUAAUUGAGCAUGAAAUUCCUUGGUUCUUGACUGUUAUUAUUUUUGGUACCUCAUUGAGCUUAUAGCUCACCCCGUUUUGUUAUCCUUGUUUUCCUUACAGAAAAAUCUUUUGGGAACAAUGAUGUUUGGAAGCAUGAGUUGAGCUAGAUAUAUAUUCUUUUGUAUAGCUCCUCAAGAGAUAUAAACCUUGAAUGUAUUUCGAUCCAACAACUCCCUUUUUUAUUUGUAAAUUUGCAAUCAUGUAUUUAUAUAUAUAUAUAUAUAUAUAUAUAUAUAUAUAUAUAUAUAUAUAUAUAAGUGUUUAAUCAUGUACAUGGGUUACCCCGAUCAAACGUGUUCAUUCUUUACACCUACAUGGAGUUUAAUGAAAUUACUGAGAUUUUGGACGAGUAUAGUAUUCAAGUGCGAAAAGAAAAAAAAAAUCUAGCAGGGAUUUCGACAAUAUUAUGGGUUGGUAAGUUACAUUUAACUUGGAGGUUUCCCAAUCGUUCGUUUUCUUUGGUUUCUUUCACGCGUGCUACAGAAGUGGGAGUGAUUCGACCCCGUAGUCCCGGCGAGAGUUGGGCAGGCGGUCCGCCGAACCCUUUGGUUCGGCUUAGGGGGAGGUGGGGCUAUCACAACUUUCAUAGUUGCGAAUUUCUUCAAUUAACAGUUAGUUAUUACUAUCAAUGAUGUGGUAAGUGUCAGUAAUAAAUGUGAGACGUGAAUUGAAAUUUACAGAUAUCAUUUUACAGGGGUGGUUAUUAUCUGUUAAUUAAAGUUUAGGAGUUUUAAUUUUAUGGAUUAGUGGGGAAAACUUGGGGAAAAUGUGGGGGAAAUGUGAGGAAAACGUGAGUAUGAUUAUAGGAUUUGUGGGAGUGAUUAUAGAAUUUGUUAAGAGAUAAACAUUUCUUAAUUAUAAAAAUAUAAAAUUCUAUUAAAAUAGCAUUCAGACUUUUGACAAUUUUGAAAGCUCCUUAUCCAAAACCCCCUCUGCAAUACAUAUAGAUAUAGAUGUGUAUUAUACGAAAUGAAAAAAGAACUCACUAGAGAGGAACCAAAUCCAUCUAAAAUUAUGUCAGCAAAUUCUAUCAUAUUUUGUAUUGUAGAUUCACAAUUAGAUGAUUAAUCAUUUUUAUAGUUGAGAAGGGCCAAUCUGACAUCGUCUUACAAAUUUGUUCAUUUUUCGUUAGGUAAGACUUGCAGCUUGCGCGCGUCCUAGUUUUUGCAAGGAGAACCACGUUGUUGUUAUUUGUUACCCUUACUUUCUCAUUUGGUUAAAGUUAACUAAGCCUUUGAUAGCAUGUGUGAUGAAAGUGGGGCAUGACUUGAAAAGAUUAUUAACUAACGGUUAAUAUCCUUAACCUAUAAAAGACUAAUUGAGACAUGCUUUUCUGUAAAAAAUCAUAAUCGCAACUUUUGGAAGUUCUGUAAAGAGGAUAACAUACUCAUUUAUAGUCUUAAUAUACUAGCACAAAGUGUUAUCAAGUAGUAGUAAAGAGAAUUUGUCCAUUGAUUCGCAAUAAAUAGACGGCGAAUUUACCCUAAAGAGAAGCGAAAAUAGAUUACGAGUUCAAGUCCAUUCUCAUCAAUUUAUCACAAUUAUUCAGAACAAAUCAUAGUUGAAACAAGUGAUGAAAUUUGGACCUUACAAGAUCAAUACAAUGUGGGUUGAGGUGAGAGGGAGUCCAAAAUGUCCCACAAACAUUAAAUGAGUCACUUUGCAGCUUGAGAGGAGCUUAUGGGCCUACGUAUCGUCCCUUAAAGCCCUGUUUUUCAGGACGCUGUUGAACCCCUUUUUCUGUUUGUUUUGAUAGUUUUAAUAUUUAAUCAUUUAUGUGUUUCUUUUGUUUUAGGCCUGAUGUUGGCAAAAUGUGAUUCCUGUUUUAUUCAAUUAAAUUUCAUUCAUGGUUUUAGAAAAAGAGAGAUUACUUUUUUCGUUCUUCCAUCACGAAGAAUUCAGUUAGUUGUUCUUUUUUUUAACCAUGGAAAUCUCCAAAUCUCUUUUUUUUUUCUUUUGAUUAUACGUUAAUUAACCCAAAAUUCAUUGUACUAGUUGUCUAGGUUCACUUGAGACAGAGUACAAAUAAAGGCAUUGACCUAUUGUACAAUUGUAAAAUGGGAUAAUUUCAGAAACCUCCCCUGAGGUUUCUGACAGUCUCACUCUUCUCCCCUGAACUUUGCAAAAUAUCAGAUAUCUCCCUUGUCAGAUUAUUGGGCCUUAUUUGUGAUAUCAUUGGUGAUGAAUUGACAGAUAUACCCUCAUAACUUAUGAUAUAUUUUGAAGCUAUUUUGACAGAAUUAUUUAAAUGAGUAAUAGAGAUAUAACUUAUGAUAUACCUUCUAUUCCACUUUACAUUUUUUAUUCGUAGUACAAUCACCAAUGAAGAGUUUAGCACUAGUGUUAACUUUUUCUAAAGUCAUGUAUUUCAUUUUUUUUUGUAAGACAAUUAUCUAGUGUACCUCAUUACUUAUAUUUGGGUAAAUUUGGUUUUCAAAAAAUCAAUGACGUAAAUUGUACAUUACAUCAUCUCAUAAAGUAAUGCGACACAAUUUGGAUUAUUGAAUUUUUUGAAAAUCGAAUCUACCUAAGUUCUGGUAUUCAAACGAAGCUUGUUGAAUAAAUUCGACUAACUACAGUGUGAAUUAAUUUUUUUUUAAAUCUCAACUAAAGUAUCUAGCACUAAAUGAAAUGAAGUAUCUUGCUAGUUCAUUUCAUUUUCCACAGAGAAAAUCGCAAAAAGAAUUAUUAAACUAUUGAGAAUUUGGUUAUUUGAUCGUUACACUAUUUAUUUAACUGCAAUUGCCAUUCACUCAAUUAACCAAAUAGUGAAAAAAUUUUUGUGACUUAACUAGUAAAGAUUUAUACUUUUAGUCACUCAAAUAAUAUUUUUUAUGACUUAACUAAUAAAAAUUUGUACUUUUAAUCACUCAAAUUAUAAAACUAUACAUUUUUUUAUAUCACCAGAAGUAUGUUUCAAUUAAUUGAAUGAUCAUAUUAGCUAAAUAAAUGUCUAAUAGCUAAAACAAAAAAAUAUAAAUAGCAUUGUAACAUUGCUUGAAGAAGCCAUCUGCAUUUGUCUCUAUUUGGUUCAACUUAUUACUUCUUUUUUUUUUUUUUUGCUUUUGCUUUAGCUCAAGUUGUGGAUAAGCAAAAAGGGCAUAUGCGGAACACAAAUAUCAUCUCACUCCUCAAAAUAUUUUUUUAAUGCUCAUUUUUCUGACAUGGGCUCAUCUUGUUACUCCAACUAUAAGUUCAGGGGAGGUAUCUGAUAUUUUGCAAAGUUUAGGGGAGGUGAGUGAGACUGUCAGAAACCUCAAGGGAGGCUUCUGAAAUUAUCCCUUGUAAAAUUUAUACACAUUUUCUCUCCAAUUUGGGUAAUUUAUCCCUAGCUCUAUAUAUCAUCUAAAACAUAUGGUGUGGAAUUCAAAAAUGGAAAAUUAAAUAUUCGUACAAACAUAUCACCUUUAAAGCUCUUUGGGGAAUCAAUAAUUUUACUAAUGCCCUUUCCAGCAGUUGUCUCAAGCAGCCGAAAACCAAAUUGCAGACAUCCUUCUUAAACGAACUUAAGUCCCAUACUUUCAUUCUUUGCAAAAAUUCUCCAAUUUGAAGAAGUAAAAUAUGAUUCUGAAAAUUUAGCAAAUCUCAAAAUUGGAUAUCCUAAAUCCAAACCUAAGAAAAUGGAGUACUAAUUCUAUCCUGAUUAAGCCACGUAAUGCCUUUUGCAAUCCCCAUUACAAUUUUUACCGUAAACCUGUUUUGGGCAGAAAAGAAAGUGUUGUUAUUACUUUACCCCCUUAAACUAUAUUACUACUAUCAGUUUACCCCCUAAUGUUAUUUUUUAGUUACUUCACCCGCAUAAGUAAUUCAACUUAACAUGUUAAGAAAAUUUGGAUAAAAAUACCCUUUUAUUCUGUAGCAUUACUACAUUGUUAUUGUUACUUUAUUCCUUUAAAUUAUAGUAAUAUAAUUGCUUUAAUUCUUAACAUUAUUUCUAGGUAUUUUACUUCAUCGUUAAUCUAACUAGUAUGGUAAAAAUUAGAUUUUGCAAAGAAAAAAUAAAGAAAAGUCUAAUAUUAUUGUAUUAAUUUAAGAUUAUUGGGAUUAGAAUUGAAAUCUGGUGGUAAACAGUAAAGUGAAAUAAUUUUAAAAUAAUAAAAGUAUUUAAUUCUUUCUUAUUUGUAAUUUUUUUUAAAAAAAAAGAAUUGAGCUCUCUUUCAAUCUCUCUCUCCCUCUCUCCCUCCCCCUCACCAUCUUUUUUUUAAUAUUAAUAAGAUUGUCAAGAAGAAAGAAAUUAAUACUUUGACUUUUUUCUUGAUACUAAAAAGGAGAAGAGUCACUCUAAAUUUUUUAUUAUUUUUAUUAUACAAAGAGAAGAGUACUUUCUUCUAAAGUUUUUUAACUUGCUAAGUUGGUUUAAUGGUGGGAUAAAUUAUCUAAAAAAUAAUUUUAUGGGUAAAUUGAUAAUUAGACCAUAGUUUAUGGGGGUAAAGUGAUAAUAACUUUAAGAGUAAACUUGUCUUUUCACUUUAAUUAACAAACUCCGUUAAGUUGGACGGUUAGUUUUGGGGGUAAAGUGACUAAAAGAUAACGUUAAGGGGGAAAUUGAUAAUGACAUCUAACGUUAAGGGAGUAAAGUAAUAAUAACCCGAAAAGAAAUGAUCAUAGCGGUUUCCAAAUUGGGCUAUCAUAUUCUUCCAAGAAUCAUGAGUUCAAACAUAAAUUGUUAAUCAAUGCUAUCAAAAUGAUGGAGUUUGAACCUCAAAUAGAAAAAAAAAAAAGAAAGAUAACAAAGUUCCUUGAUGGCAAAUUGACACAUGUUUGAAAAGAAAUAGCACACAACCAUCAUUAAAUUCAGAAAAAUGAAAUUACACAAAAUAGGCCAACAGCAAAAUAUCAGAAUAAUCUCAUUGAUUGUUUCCACCAUAUUUUGACAAGAAAAGAGCCAUCGAUCCUUUCAACUUUUACCUCAAUUUUCCACAAAAGCACCAAAGAAAGCCAGACCACGCAGAUGACCAAUUACAAUCUCAAGAGGAAAAACCAACCGAAGCACUCCCUGAUGAUAUCAUCAAGAAAAAAACAGAGCAAUAACUAGUUGUUUGCUCAUCAAUUUCAAUGUGCUCGUGCAUGCAUUACAGGCAAUUGAAGUCCAAAAAAGCUACCAAAAGAAGCUACAAGCCAAUUAACAGUAAUGACAAAAAAAAAAAUUACCAGAUAUUGAACCAGCUGAUGCCCUUCAAUCUAUGAUGAUGAUCUUCAGAUUCUCAUUUCCAUAAUUUUUUUGUGCUUCUUCAAUUUCCCGUGCCAAAGAUUUGACACCAUCUACACAACGUAGCACUCUAAUUGUUUCAAGAGUUGAUAUACGGCCUAAACAAGCAGGCACCAUUUCCAAAUUAGAAAUUCCGUAGAGAUUUAAUUGCUGAAGGCACGGGAAGUAAUCAUCACUGUCAGGGUCUGUCUGUGCCCACUCCAUAACCUUUACAUCUUCUAAUGUCAAGACCUUGAGUUUAGGGAAUCCUCCUUCCAUCAGCUCCCAUUUUUGGCCCUCCAUUGACCACUGUCUUAAUUUGAGGACUUCAAGAUUGGGUAGUUGUUCAAUCAAUGACAUUUUUCUACAGGGAAGACCCAGAUUGAAAAGACACAACUUCUUCAAAUUCAUGGGAAAAGAAAGCUCCACAUAUUCCAGCGAAUCAAAGGAGCCGUGGCCAUCUAAGGUGAGUGAUUCUAGGCAUACUAGUCGACUCAUGUUGCAGCAUACUCUAUUUUGUUGCCGCACAUAUAAAAUUUUAAGUCGGCGAACGUUGAGAAUCCUUCUCAAUAUGUUCUCAAUGUCACGAUAAAGAAACAGAGUAGAGAGUGUGUCUAAAUUGGGUAAAGUAGAGAGGUUUUCAACAACAUUGUCGUUGGAAGACAGACGAAUAUCAAAAACGGGUCUUACAUGUACAUGCAUCAACUUCUUCAUGUUCCAGAUGCUAUCUGGCAAUGAAACAACCGCUGUAGAAUCCAGACAGAAGGUUUCCAAAUGUGAGAGCUUGGCUAUAGAUGGUGGAAUGAAUUUCAUGCGCUCUGCUUCAAGGGCUAAGUACCUUAAACAAAGAAGUGAUUCGACUUCAGUUGGAAGCUCUUUCAGCCUUAGGUUAAUGCCCUCUAACUUCAGAACUUUAAGAUGUUUGUAGAUGUAAAAAAGGAAGGAGAUGUUAUGGAACUGAAACUCAUUAUAUCCUGGAGUACCAUCAACGAAUAGAGUACCUAAAUAUGGGCAAAAUAGCUUUGACUUCCUAAAAUCUUCUCCACUGGAGCAAAUGGACAACCGAGGUAGGUUGGGAGGCUCAUUAAAGGUAGAAAGCUCAUCAUAUCCUCGCAAAACCUGAAGAAAAUUCUUUUCUUUCGCCUCGCCCUUACAGAACUCAAAUAUCAAAUCGUGAAUGUAACAAGUUUUGACUCCACCAAUGGAUCUGCUUUUACUUACCAUAACUAAGUUUCGACCAAUAAGGUCCAUCAGAUAUUCUUCUGCAAUGCCCUCUGAUCUCUUUCCUUCAAUUUUUUCCACAAACCCUUCUGCAAUCCAGAGACGCAUCAAAUUCUCCGCACUAAUUUUUUCAUCUUCUCGAAAUGCAGCAAAAUACAGCAGGCAUGCCUUCAAGUGAUAUGGUAAAUGCUCAUAACUGAGCUCCAACGACUUCUUGCACUGGUCUGUACCAGACACCAUGGUUAAAGUUAAACUUUUAGCAAAUUUUUCCCAAACCCAAAUAUCAUGCUCUAUAGUUGCUAGGACCCCAGCUACAACAACGAGUGCAAGUGGCAAUCCCCUGCACUUUUCGGCAAUCUCCAUUCCCAACCCAUGCAAUGCUUGAGGACAAUCUUCUUUUCCAAAAACCUUCUUCUGCAGUAAUUCAAAACUUUCUUUCUCACCGAGCGGGCGAAGAUAGUGAGGUUUCCCCCCAUAUUCAACCUGUGAAGCCACAUUAGAAAAUCGGCUCGUGAAGAUGAUUUUACUUCCUUUCUUGUCAUCCGGGAAUGAAAUUCUCAGCUCAUUCCAUACCUUAAUGUCCCAGACAUCAUCAAAAACAACAAGAUACCGAUUCUCCUUUAGCUUUUUGUAGAGCUUUUCAAGCAGCGCAUGUUCAUCCAGAUUUUGAAACUCAUCAUCCAUCCUGGAAUGUUUGCCUUCAGAGCACAAAAUUUGAAGUAACACAUUUUUCAUGUUAUAGGCUUGAGAAACAGUACACCAAAGACGAAUGUGGAAGUUACAGAUUACUGAACUAUCAUUGUAAACUUUUUGGGCUAAAGUUGUCUUACCAAGCCCAGCCAUUCCCACAAUGGGAACAAUUUCCACAUGUUCUGGUCCCCAUAUAAGUCGUUCAAUUACUUCUCCUGCCUCAUCAUCAAGACCAACCAUGACUUCAUGGGCUAUUGGCAUUUUACCUUUUGAUAGCAUGUGGCUGGAAGUCUUGCUAACUUCUGGCGCUCUUAAGCUAUGAAAGGAAGGAAGACUUUCAAUAAUGCUUGAGCCACUGAUCUGAUCCUUAAAAUGCUUGAUAUGGAUGUUGGUAUUAGCCAGCAUAUCAUAACAGUCAAGGGCCUCUGUGGAUUCUGAGAAUCUAACUUCUCCUUCCUUCACUCCGUUUAGAGAGGGCGAGCAAAUUAUAAUGCCUGCCUCACUAAGAAGAGCACCAAUUUUUUCGUUUUGCUCAUCCAUCUUCUCCUGCAGCUCCCUUAAAAUGCUUCUCAAAAACCUCAGUCCUGCAUAGAGUAUUCGCAUUUCAUCUUUCAUAGAAUCCACAAAGCUAGAGCUGCAGCAUAACAGCUCCCAGAGACAACUUAUCAGAGAAUCAUUGAAGUUGUUCAAUAUCUGCUUAUCCAUCAUUCUAUCAUGCAAUGAUUUUGAGGACCUUGUAGCUCUAAGAACUUCCAUGUGAAUCCCAAAGACUUGAAAAUCAACAGCUGUGAUUUUCUGUUGUUGCUCAUAUAUCAUGGAGCAGAACUCAGGAUUGUGCCGUUCCUCAUCAUCCCAAAAAGAACACAUGUAAGAGAGGCGUGCUGCGUUCAAAGCCAUCACUUCAAAGUGAGCCAAUAGCAAAGCAGGAAUAUCUGCAGUUCCUCGCAAUUUGGCAAAGGGUAUGAAGCUUUUCAAGAAUGUUAGCUUUUCUUCAAGGGCUUGGAAUUGAGCAAUAACUUGGGGAUCCAUAUCAAAAAUACACAAAUCGCUAGUUGUUAAAUCCGCUAGAUUUUGUAGAAUAAGGUCGAUAAAUUCUAUUAGUUCAUCAGCUGGCAUGCAAGAAUUUGAUUCCAAUGAUCUGCUGCUCGCCAAAGUGAAGUAAACUUGGAUGAUUUCUUGCUUAAAUGAUUUGAUUUGUUUCAACAAUUUGGGGAACACUUCAUUGCCAACAUAACGUACGUCACGUGCAUCAGAUUUCAACACAAGGAAAAGAGAGUGAACGGUAUCUUCAAUGCAAGAUAAGAAAGAUGGAAGACUCACCUUCUUCACUACAUUAUCAGAUUCCAAGUACAAAUCAUUGCAGUGGCUCCACUUUCUUGCACAGAUAACAAAUGUUUUGAGAAAUUUCAUGCGUUUGAUUGCAUCACGAACACGAUCAAGUAAGACCCGAUCAUGGUAAGGAUCAUCCCGGCUUCGGAAGCUGUUCAGGAGCAACUCUAGAUCAAGUAAGACCCGAUCGAUGCUGCAAGUGGAGACCAUCUCCAUCUCUUAUGCAGGGAUUUUGGUCUCAAAUUUUAAGAGAGAAGCAAAUCUCACUAAUUGCAGAGCCAGCAAGUAUUUCUUUCCUGAGAAUUACUUCUUUGCUUUUCUUCUUCUGAAGAGUAUUGAGACAAUCAAUUAUUGGCAACAAGGUGGAAUCGGCAUCGAGGUGGACCCGAGACACUGAUACUACUACAACUAGGGAGUUGGGCAUCUGAGGAUUUAAAAGAUACUACAAUUUUGUCAUUUUAGCAAAAGUUAGUGUGAAAAUAAAUCGUGGGUCAUUAGCAAUAUUAUUUGCUCAUGUCUAAUUACAAAAGGAAGUUGAUAAAAUUAGUUGACUCUGUUGUCAACAUUUUAAUGGGGAAAUUUGGUAUGGCAAUCUCUCAUGAUUACAGAGAAAUGCAUUAUUGGAACAUUUUCUAAUGUUGUCUAAAUCCGCUAGAUUUUGUAGAAUGCGGUCUAUAAAUUCCAUUAGUUCAUCAACUGGCAUGCAAGAAAUUGAUUCCAAUGAUCUGCUACUUGCCAAAGUAAAGUAAACUUGCACACAUAACAAAUGUUCUGAGAAAUGUUAUAACGAGAGAGAGCGGUCAAAAAAAGAUGUGUAACUAAACCCACACUAGUUGCUCAUCCCUUCCAUCACACCCCUAUAUAUAUAUAUAUAUAUAUAUAUAUAGUGUCAAAAUGACAUACGUUGUCCUGCGUGGUGAAAUCUUCAAGCUAACUCUCUAAUUUUCUUUCUCGAGCAAACCUCUAAAUUUGAUCACUUUCUCUUCUAAUGUUCUCGUGUUAAUAAUCAUGACCAUUGAUCUGGGAGAUUAAUAACCAUGACCAACAAAGUAAAGAGUCCGAGAAAAAAAAAUUGAGGCUUCUUCAACCCUCGAGAUUGUGGAAAUAGAAAAUUUGGAAUUUCAACAAUUACCAGUAUCAUAAUAAAUACGCAUUAUCAUAAUAAAUAUAAACGCUAAGAUAAUAAAUAUAAACAGUAAAACGAUAAUGUACAAAAUUAAUGUUACCGGAGUGCAUUAGUGUUACCAAUAUACAAUCGUCAAAGAAAAUGACUAAGGAAGUAGAUGAGGAAUUAUGAGAGUUAGCACGGCGGCUAAUCAAUGCGGAUUUCAGUAUAGAAUCAGGAAACUUAAAAACGAAAUGUAAUUGUUUAAGGAUGCAGAAAUGUAUAGUCCUGCAUGGGCUAGUUUUGUGCUUAAACAGAUGUCUAGCUGUUCAGGAAAGGUGAUUGGUUCGUGUUUAUAUGCUAGAAUAUAAGUGCUGGAAAGAUAUUUGUCAUGUUUUAUAUAUACGCUUCAGCAGAAAGUUUUUUGGAGCUUAGUAUAGCAAUAUUUUUUUUUAAAGCUUAGUACAGCUUAGAGUCAGCCGAAAGCAAUUAAAUUUUAUACCACACGAACAUUGGCAAAGAUGCUUUAACCUAACCCUCCUGAAUAAUUAAUGAGCAAGUUCAAUGAUUAUGUCCCACAAGAUUGGCAGAUCUUUAAACUAAAAUUUAAUUGACACAGGGGGAUGGGCAGGGACAGCCGCCCUGCAAAAGUUUUCAGAAUUUUAAAAUCCUUCCUAUAAUUCUAGUUGUCAACUAAAAUUAUAUUAUUUUGGCUCUCCUAAAUAUAAUUAUAAGUAAAUUUUAUUUGUUAUUUUGUUUAAUUUCUUUUGAUAAAGGGUCCUAUACCAAACUAACAAUUAACUUCCUUAAAAAUGUAUAUGAUUGGUAUGUACUUACCGUACGAUUAGUAUUACUUUGAAUAAUAAUUCCUGUUUGGAUUGCUAUUUCUAAGAGUUUUUGUAGAAAAAAAAUAUAUUAUAACAAUUUGAUGUAUGUGAGGUAAAAAAGUGAUUGAAAAAUAUAUUCAUGAAAAACGUAAAAAUUUUUCUGUGAAAAAUCACAAUCCAAACUUUUUUAACCAAAUUUCUUAUAACGAACGUACUAUUAGUUUGUUUGAUUACUAUAACUUUAAAAUAGCAACAAAGAUAACAAUGUACACGUUACAUAGGAAAUCAAAGGAAAAAAAAUUCAACUAUCCUAUAAAUUGAAGAAGUUCAACUAUGAUUAUGAAUGCGUCACAUUCAUAGUAAAUAUAACAGUGUAGAGUCUAAUUUUUAUAUUUUCCUUUAUAUUUUGUCUUUAUGUUUUAUAAAUUUCUUACUCCUAAUUAUAAUUUAUUGAACUCUCAUUUUACAUUUAGUAUUUUUUAUUUGCUACUGCAACGGGCUCUUGGAGGCAUAUGUAAGUGGUGGGCUCACUGCUUGUGAACAAUUUUUAUUUUUUUUUUCCAAAGUGAAAAAGAGAGCUACAUAAAUUAAAUUACAAAUGAGUCAGACUCAAUCAUUUUAGGAAAUUUAAUGCUUCUUACAUCUUCCACACAAAUAUUCCCAAAUAGAUUAGGUGGUUCUACAUGCAAAGCAAACUCUUCCAAUUGGUUAUAUCCUAGAUUUGCCUUGAAGACCGUAGUCCUCUUUGCCUAUAUGUAGAUAUGCUUAAAUGUGACCAACUGAAUUUGGCAGAGUAAAACUCUCCGCCAAUCACAACGCUAGGCCCCAAAUGAAGAUAUUCAGCGGCAACAGUAACAGAGAAAUUGAUUAGAUUUUUGCGUCUAGAAUCCUUUGCAUGAUAAAGUCAAGGAGUACGAAUGAUAAAAUAGGGAAAUCCCAAGUGCUAGAGCUAGUGUUAGAAAACACCUCCUUCACUAAAAUGUUAUCUUCUCCUAGAGACAGGGGUCCAUGAAUGAUGUUAUGAAAAAAGGAUGACCUAAAAAACAAUUUUUUAUAGUACUACCACAUCAUAAUACUAUACCUCAUAAAAAUAUAAAUUUAAAAAAUAAAAAAAAUUGAAAAGAAAUACACUUGCAUCAAUUUAACUCUAUUUGUUCAAAACUGGUUUCUUAUGAAUUUAUAUUGUUUCCAACAUACCUUUGCUCAAACCAUUAAAUUGUACCAAUCAAUAUAAAAAUCAUCUCAAAAUAAGCAAAUAAAUCAUACCCCACUUUAUCAUAGUCACAAAAGUAAAAGAUAAACAUAAUUCAAUUUAUUAUAAUUUACAAAUAAAAUAUUGCAUAGUCAUCCAAAAAAUGAGUAAGAGAGAAUGAUGGAAAAAGGGAAAAAGAAGAAAGUGACUUUUGUUUCUUUUUUUAAAAAUUUUUGAGUUCCAUUUAUUUGAUAUGUUGUAAAUUAUAUGUCAAGUGAGGGUUAUUAUAAUCUUUUCACAAUUACUAGGAGAGAUAAGUGACAUUUCUAAAACCUCAAGCGUGCCAGGUAAUAUUAAGAGAAAUCUUAGAGGAGGUUUCUGAUAUUAUCCCAUUAUUUCGCUAAUUUCCUUUCCAGCAAUUAACUCAAGAAACAGAACACCAAAGUUGUAGACACCCUUCUUAAUCGCGCGGUCUCAUUUGUCCAAGAGUCAUGAGCUCAAACAUAAAUUGUUAAUCAAUCGUGUCAAAAUGAUGGAGUUUCAAAAAAGCUAAGAGCUUCUUGCCUUGGUGUUGGUGUAUUUUAAUAAAAUCUUAAUUUUUGGAUAAAUCUUUUCAAGGAGUUACAAUAGUAUUCAUUGGUGAGUUAUGUAAAUUGUUAUUGUGGGAGUUACAUUGCAUUUUGAAUGGAGUUAUAAUUGUGAGUUACUUUUUUGAAUAAGAGUUACAAAAGAAUUAUUUGGUAUUGUGGGAGUUACAAAAGAAUUUUGAAUAAGACAUUAUGUAUUAUUGUGGGGGUUACAAAAAGAUUAUUUGAAUAACUGUUACACAUUAGUUUUUCUUUUACUUAAGAUUUUGUAGCCUAUAAAUAGUGGAGUUCUCAAAAGGUUUUGAAACACUUCUUCUCACAACAAAAAAUCACUCUAAAAUACUAUCCUCCUCACAUUUAUUUCUUUCUCCUUCAUUCUGUUUUCUUUGGGCAAAGAAGGAUAUUGGGAAGCUUCUGCUUCUCUUGGUUGUGCAGAUCAAAGAGAAGUAACAACUAUAGAGUUGGGCUGUUGUAUCCUGGAGGCGGCGCGCUAGACCUUCUGCAUCGGUUUGAAAAGCACCGUAGGGGCGCGUAUCGUCUUAAAGAGAGCGUUCUACGCGCCUCAGCCCUACCGAACUUCUUAGUAGCUGUCAAUUCCAAGGUGGUUAUUUUUUGAAGAUCAGAGAUUGUUCGUGUACUCUCUUCCAACACUUGGUACAAAUUCCCUAUUUUCCAAGUACCAAUGCUACAAAUUGACACAUUUUUGAAAAGAAAAAGCACACAACAAUCACUAAAUUCAGCAACACAAAAAUUACGCAAGAUUCACACACAAAUUUGAAAACAAGUCAUAAUUUUUAAGCCUUUAUGCUGCCGUGCAGAUUGAUAAAAUGGUGCACGGUGUAUGAACCUCAUUGAUCGUUUCCGCUGUAUCUUGACAAGAAGAAUCGAUCCUUUUAACUUUUAUCUCAAUCUUCCACAAAAGUACCAAAGAAAGUCAGAACACACAAAUGACCAAUUACAAAAUCUCAAGAGGAAAAGCUACCGUAGCACUCCCUAAUGAUAUCAUCAAGAAAAAAUAGAGCAAUAAUUAGUUGUUUGUUCAUCGAUUCCAGAUAAUGAUAAUACUACAACUAGGUGUUGGGCAUCUGAGGAUUUAAAAGAUACUACAAUUUUGUCAUUUUAGCAAAAGUUAGUGUGGAAAUAAAUCGCGGGUCAUGGCAAUAUUAUUUGACCAUGUCUCUCACACAUAUUAUGAGAAUGCAUUAAGAAAUUUGCUUCACCCAAAAUCCAAAUUUAUCUUGCAAGAGGAAGUUGAUCAAAUUAAUUGACUCUGUUAUCAAAAUUUUAAUGGACAAUCUCUCAUGAUUACAGAGAAAUCUGUAUUAGUUCCCCUAGUCAUUACAAGUAACAGAGCAAGAAACAGAACAUCAGUAAAGUAAAAGACAAAAUGUUGGAAUUAUCAUAAAGUAAUCUUAUGUUUAGAAGAGUAAAGAAGUUUUCAUUAAUAAUUUUAGUUACAAUAACAUCAAAAAUUAUUAUUUUUGGACUAUUUCAUAUGUGGAUUGGAGUUGAGAAGGACUACUCCGGCACUGUCCAUUAUAGGUGGCAAACAAACCUAUUUAACUAAAUUUAUCCAUACUUAUCCAUGAAUAAAUGAAUAUGGAUAUCUUAAGUUUUUGCAUAUGCGUAUAAAAUGGAUUACCCAAUAAUACCCAACCCAUCAAAUUCAAUUAAUCCAUUUAGAAUUGUCUUCCCUCAAAUAUCCUUUCUUCCCCACCCAUUUUUUUUAGAUUCUUCAUUUUAUCAUAAUGUUAACUACUUUUACCUUAUCCUGUUCUUUUCUCGUAGUUUCUUAACUUACUCAUUUUUUAGUAUUACCAAUUUAUGACAAGUUUUAGCAUCUUUUCCUACCUUUCCAAAAUGAAAUUUUAAAUUUCCACAUGCAAAAAAUGCUAGGGGUUCAAAGUUUUUGGAUUAAGUUUUUAUGUUAACUUUCAUAGUACUUAGUUCAAAAUUUUAUAUUCUUAUCGUUCAAUUAUUAAAUAGUAUGUAAUUUUGCGACAUAGAGUACGAAUGAAAAAAAAUUGGUAAUUAAGCUAAUUAAGCAUUAUAAGUAAAUAUUUAAAACUAAAGAUAGGUGCAAAUGGGGGUAUAAAUUGAUAACUUAGUUUGCAAAAAUAAAUUUAAAUGAGUUUACAAAAAGUUAAAAUAAAUGGGUAAUUGGGUCACCCAACUCAUUUUUCGACUUAUAUAUUUAUACUCAUCUAAUUAAAUAGGUAUAAAUGAAUUGACUCACUUAUAUCCAUUACCUAUUUUAACCAACCAAAACCAGCUCAAGUCACUCAUUUUGACAUCUCUAUUGUCCAUUAAGAAGCGGACCUGACAUGCCUAUACCUAUUACUUGGACUUUAUUUUUCGUUUUAAAAGAUUCAUUCCUUUUCAUUAGAUAAGACUUUCUUGCAUGUUGGCCUGGUUGCCUUAGUUAAAUAGAGAAAAAGGACAGAAGGGGCCAAAAAAAAAAAUAUUAUUAUUAUAUAUUUUUUUUUAACGAAGACAUGUUUUCAAGAAAGUGUUGGAAUCAUCAGAAAGGCAUCUCAAAUAUGUAAAGAAAUUUUUAUAGUUUUUGGACUAUUUUGUACUCAUAUAUUUCUGUGAAAGACCCUGCACCUAGACUUGCUUUUCGUUUUAAAAGAUUUAUUCCUUUUCAUUGGGUGAGACUUUGUUGCAAGUUGGCCUAGUUACCUUAUUUAAAGAGAGAAAUGGAACGGCAGGAGGCCCCAAAAAAAGGACUUUAAGUUAAACAGAAAUUUAUCACAAGCCUAAUUACUUUUUAUUUUCAACUAAUAGGAAAAAGAAAGAAAAAAGAACCGAUAGUUUGUUUUACAUAUCUUUUAGUGCACUUUCAUUUGUAAUAUGAAUUAUUUGGGGUGAUUGGAGACACUUUGACGGAUCUUAGGGCCCGAGAUUAGUAAAAUAAAAAAUAAAGAAUGCAACGUGAUAAAUUGAUAAUCUGUAUAAAGCAUGAAAACAGAAUUUUCUCCUUGAGCAAAGAUGGAGGGAUCGUGAAGAAGAGAAAUACGAUAUUCAAUUAUUCAACAAACAAACGGAGCAAGAAAGAAAAAGAUCAACAAAGUAGUUGAGACGAUGCUACAAUCAUCAGAAAUUCAUGUCGGCUUAGAAAAAGCAAAAACGUUUCUUAUAGACUACUUUUAAUUAUUUUUGGACUGUUUCAUACUCGCCAUGUAGCUGAGAAAUGGCAGUUCGGUAUUGUCCAUUAAGAGAAGAUUUAUUCCUUUUCAAUUUUCAUCUGGCAAGACUCUUUUGCAUAUUGGCCCAUAGUUACCUUAGUUAAAGACAGAAAAAGAAACAGGAGGGGCCAAAAAAAAAAAAAAGUUCUCUUGAAGGAGACAGGUUUUCGAGACGGUGCUGGAAUCAUCAAAAGUCAUCUCUAAGUAAAGAAAUUUUUAUAGGUAAAUUACACUUUACUUCCCUGUGGUAUAGUUAAUUUUUAUAUAAUCUCUCUCUAAUUUUUAAAACUAUAUAUAACCCUCUCAUAAUUUAGAUUAAAAUGUCAAAGUGACGGAAAUGAUUAUCCAUAAUGAAACUUAGAAAAAUGUCAAAAUUACUUUUGUUUAAAAACUAAAAUGGAUUAAGUGACCAAUAUAUGUAAACAUAAUAUGCAUGACACUCUAACUCCAUACGAUUUUAUAUUUUACAAUACAAGCCCCUUUUGGUUUAGUGUUUUACCAUAAAACCUCCUUAUAGUUUUUAAUAUAUAGAUAUACAUAAGUCUCUUGUAGUUAAUAAAUAAUUUUUAACUUUACAUAAGGGUAUUUUUAAUAUUUUCGUUGAUUCCGUUAUGGAUUACAAAAUCCUUCAUUUUGACACUUUAAUCCAAACUAUGAGGGGAUUAUGUAUAGUUUUUGAAACUAUAAGGGGGUUAUAUAAUAAAGUACUAAAUCAUAGGAGGUAAAGGGUAAAUUACCCAAUUUUUAUUGACUCAUAUUGCUGUAAAGGACCCUGCACGUAGACUCGUUUUUCGUUUUGAAAAAUUUAUUCCUUUCCAUUGGGUACGACUUUGUUGCAUGGUGGCCUAGUUACCUUAUUUAAAUUUGACUUUAAAUUAAACGUAAAUUUCCAACAUCACAAACUAACCUUUUCAUUUUCCAAAAAAAAAAAAAAAGAACUGAUGACUUAGUCAUCUACGUUUCCUUUAAUAUACUUAUAUGUUAUUGCUACAAACAUCAAUUACUAUAAACACCCAAUUCUGAUCAGUUAUGUUGGGGAUUUAUGUAUUAAAAAUUGUAAAUAACAUGAGCGAAUGCAUAUCCUUCAGUGCACUUUCAUUUGCAAUAUGAGUUGUUUGGGGUGAUUUGAGACGCUUUGACGGAUUUUUGGGUCCGAAGUUACUAAAAUAAAAAUAAGAUAAUGCAAAGUGAUAAUCUGUGUAAACUUAAAGGAUGAAAGCAGAAUUUAUAAUUAAUAGGAGUCUCUGCAAAGCUUCAGUUUCACAGGAACACCUUUAAUUAAUGUUGUUGCGGAUCAACUCGAGGUCAUGUAAGAAGACACAAUUGACUCAAGUGGAGGACAUCUCCAGCUCUUUUGCAGGGAUCUUCCUCAAUUUCACUCUCUUAAUUUAGUGCAGCUAAAGAAUAGCCAAACCUCGUCUUGUAGGGAGCUAGCAAGUUUUUGGCUCCGGAUUCUUCUUUUCUAUCAUUAUUAUUAUUAUUUGGAAAUUGAGGUAGAGAACUGAUAUAGUAUUCAAUUAUUCAACGCACAAACAGAGCCAGGAGAAAAGCACAAGAAAAUUGAGACUGUGUUUGAAAUUUUUGUUUUUGGCAUUAACAAUUUAAAAUUCAAUGGCUACUCGAUUUAAAAAGUAGAGAAAUACAUUAUGCACGUACUAAUUUAGAGAGUUACAGAUGGGGAACAAGUUGCUGAAAUUUGGGCCUCACCGCCGCACAAUUUUGAACCCCUUUUCCAACUCCCUUUUUUUUUUUUUUUGUUAUGCAUGUUUCCUUAUUUCAGGCCUGAUGUUGGCAAAAUAUCAUUCGAGUUUUAUUCAAUUAAAUUUUGUUCUUGGGUUUAGAAAGAGAAAAAUAAUUUACAAAUCAUAGCACUAAUUUUAUGGGUAAAUUACACUUUACUUCAUUGUAAUUUAAAGCUUUUCUACACAAACCUCUUAUGAUUUUAAAACUUAUAUAUAUAUAUAUAUAUAUAUAUAUAUAUGCACACACAUAUAUAGACACACACACAUAACCCUCUGAUAGAGCAAUUAUUGGGCAUAUUUUGCACUAUUAUUCUGUCCUAAUUUUGGCUACUCAUGAUGCUAAGAAUUGAGAAUUUGCUCAUAUUUCAUAUUUGUGUAAAUUGUAGGUGAUUGGUGUUAAAAGUGAUUUCGUGAGACAAAUUUUCAAAAAACUCUUUAUUUCAUAGUGUGCCCACGCCAGAGACCAAAGGGGUACACCUAAAGGAUGGACCCGCAGAAUUGGUAAAACAAGUGAAACAUCAGGAAACCAAAAAGAGCUCGUGGGCCACGGAGAUGCAUGGGAUUAAAACCCUUCUCAAAGGGGAAGUAGAAUAAAACCACUUGGGAUCCUCGGUGACAUGUUUUCUAUGCCAAUCCAAUGCCACCAAUAGUGUUGUGCCAAGUGUCAUGUUAUUAUUUACACUUUAAUUUUCUAAUAAUUCAACUUGGCUUGGUUUAACACAAGUGUAAAUAAUAACAUGACACUUGGCGCAACACUAUUGAUGGCAUUGAAUUGGCAUAGAAAACAUGUCACCGAGGAUCCCAAGUCAAAUAAAACGGCUCUUCCUCUCUUUUCGGCGAGUUGUACGUGAAUUGGCACAAAAGGCCAGAUUCACGUCUAAUGAGGAGAUUAGCUUUAGUUUCAAUUGGGGAAUCAGACGUUUCUUUUGGGCGGCGGCUUCAAAAGGCUAAAAAGCCAGAAUCACGUGCAAUCAAUUAGCUUAGCUUUAGUUUCCUUUUCUCAUUUUGUCAGACGUUGGAGACCUCUCUUUAGUUUUUGGCUUUGUACGAUUUUGACUCCUUGGUUUUUACUCUGGCUCUGUACAACUUUCGUUAGCUUUGGUUCUUGCGUUUGCGGCUCCAGUACGAAGACGAAACCCAAAAGAGACGCGAGACUUUCACCUGUCUCCUCGUUAUUCCUUCUUUUGCAACUUUUUGGUAAUUUAGUUGAAUGAUAUCAAUUGAAUCACAUGGGAUUGAUAUGAUGAGGAGCGGCUAAAUUUCUCCUCUACCUAAAGGUCAACGCAAGGACGCGGUCCAUAACAUCUGUGAGAUCUAAUCAAACUUUCAUUAUUUCUUCCAAUUUGUUACUAUUCGUGCGUUUCUCGGAUUAAUUGUUUAUGGUUAUUUUAUUAAUUGAAUAUCAACGGCCGGAUAUUUAAUUUAAUCUAAUAGCCUACUGUCACGUUAAUUAAAUUGAAUCCGUAAUUGUUAGUUUAGUUGACACCUAAUGACAACCACCGUAAUUGGAUUUAUGUUGGGGAAACGUAAGAUCUACUUUAAAUAAACCCUCUUAGCGUGUUUAUCGGUUAGGGUUGGGUUCUUCUAGCUUUCAUGCGACUGGAUAAUUAAAUUCCUACGGUCGUACCUAGGGUUGUUUUCUGGUUAGAGAAGCAGUCAAUGGUCGUACCUUGACUGUCGAAAAAGUAAGGAAGAACUGGUUGUCAGAACUUGUUGAUAGCUAUAACCAACCUAGUGACGGAUGAAUGAAAUAUCUUUGCAUCGAUGAUCAUUUAAUUGGAUCAUGCUUGAAAAGUUGAUCCUUUGGGUAGAAUUUUAUUAAUUGUUAUUUUUAGUAAAUUGUACUUGUGAAGUUAUCAUUUGAAUUUUACUUAUUUUAUUUUCAUUUUCAUCCCAUUAAUCAUCCCCCGAUUUUAUUCUAUUGACUUGGAGAGAAACAACUUCCUACCCGUUCCCUGUGGAAUCGAUCCUACUUGCCAUUGUACGGAAAUUUUAUAUUUUUAUAGACAAUUCUGGUAUAUCGGAUCAAGCAAACUCUUCGGGAACAUGGUGAAUCAAGUAACCCAUUGCACACCUAGGGUCCCUGCUCCAGUACUUGGAUUUGUUUUAUAAUUAAUUGUGGUGGUAAUUAGGACUUUUUAGUAAUUAUUAUUACACAGGUUCGACACCUGUCACCCUCUCAUAAUUUAAACUAAAGUGUCAAAAAAAAUGGUCCUAUGUAAUAGGACCAACUGAAAUGUAAUCUUCUAAGGCCAUAGUUAAGUAUGUAAUCAGGCCAAUUACAGAUGGGACAAGUUAUCUUGAACAAGCAUUGUUAAAAAAAAAAGGAUUAAAAAUUUUAGCCUUAGAUUCUAAAGCUGUGCUGUAAAUUAGUACUUUAAACUAUCCAAAUCAUACUAUAUGAUGGGUGUCAAAUCACCAAAAUUAAACUGAAAGACUAUGAAUUUUAAAAAAAAAAAGUGAUUGUUUUGGAUUCUAAACUUCUAACUUAUUGACUUUGAUAUGUAAAUUGUUCAAAACUCUCCACCACAAAGAGUAUCAACUUGGUUAAACAGCCAUCAUAUACCACGGUAAUUGCACGCAUGGAAUAUUACAAUCUUUUAGUAUAGCUUGAAAGACUAAGGAUUUAAAAUUCAAAUCUCUUCUUCAUUUUUUUAAAUUUAUUGUAUUAGUUUUCAAACAGAACAUCUUUCUCUUCACAAAGGAGACUAAUUGUUCUCUUGGUCUCUCUCCUUCCCAUGGCUUUAUUUCUUUUUUUUUUUUAAAUAAUAAGUCUAUUUUUGUUAGAGUUUUAACCUCUCGUAUAACUAUCUAGUGAGAAUUUUCUUCUCUAUUUAGAAUUCUUAGUGAGCGUAUUUUUUAUUUUAGUUUUGUUUUUCCUUUUGCUUUAAAUAGUGGAAUUAGAUGGAUCUAGGUAAUGACUUUAUAAAAUGUAUAUACCAAGCACAACAAAUAUAGACAAGCACCUGUUGUUUGUUUUGAUUGCAUCCUUUUCCUUUUCUUUUCUCGUUGUAGAUUGAUGAAUGCUUGAUCGUGUGCUUAAUUAAUAUACAAUUUAUGUCAAUUUUCCCUUUGAUUUAAUAUAUUAUUGUUUUACUUUGUGGAUUCUACUUAUGUUUUGUGUUUUGAUGGUGUCAUAGAAAUUUGGGAUGAGAAAGGGCUAAAAAGAGUUGCUGUGGAGGUUAUUUACUUUCAAGCAUGAGUGCGUGUUAAAAUACUUGUGAAAUUCAGAAGCUGUGGGACUCGAGAUUAAUUUCAGCAAUUAAAGUAGAUGAUCCACUGAUUCUCUACAACUUUGGAACAAGACCAAGAGUACUAUUUUCUUUGGGAACCACACAUUUGGAAGGAUAAUUAGUUAGGAUUUCUAUUCAAACUUUAUGUAGGAGAAUAAUUUAUUUCUGGAAGGUUUUAUUAGAGAAGAGAUAAUUCUUUUGUUAGGAGCAAUGUUUUUUUAGGAGAAAGAUGAUAUGUUCUCACCUCUUACUCUCAUUUAAAGAAGAGGAUUAGAGUAGUUAGUUUUUCUUUCCUCUUUUCCCAAGAUGAAAAAAGGUCGAUAUUCUUCUCUUUAGGUACGUUUUUCCACGAGGAGUGGUUAAUCCUAAUUUGGUAGUCAAAGGAAAAUUGAAGAAUUGGUUCUACGGCAAUUGUGAGAUCUAAUUUACUUUUAUAUUUCAUUUAUUUAUUUGUAUAUUUCCUAUAUUAUGCCUGGAAUAAUUACCGUGUGUGAUUGAAUAGGUGCACAAUAUUUAAUUAUUCACAAUAGUUUAUUGCCAAUUGAGACAAUUAAAUCUAUAAUUAUUUUACUGUUUUAAUAUUUGUGGCAACUGGCAUGAUUAAUUUUUUGUCAAGGAAGUAUACAAUCUAAUUUAAACGAAUCCUUGUAAUAUAUUUGUUGAUUAGAAUUGGACUUUUCUAAUCUAUAAUACUGUUAAAAGAUUAAAUUCUAUGAUCGUACUUAGAGUUGUCUUCUAAUUAGGAAAAUUGUUAACGGUCGACAAAAUAAAGAAAGGUUUGUCAUAAGAGUUUGUUAACAAUUAUAACCAAUUUAUUCAUGAAUAUUUGAAUUAUCUUUGUAUCAAGAAUUAAUUGCAUGAACCAUUUUUUAUAUUAUUUCUUUUGCUAGAGCUCUAUCAUUGUUAAUUUAAUUCUGGUUAAUUUUCGUAUGUUUAUUUUGUGUUUAAACUAAUAAGUUAGUUUAAUCUCCAAGAUCAGCCCUUUUAUUCAUUGUUUUGAAAGGAAAUAAACCAAUCCAAUCCCUGUAGAGACGAUUCUAAUUACCACUGCAUACAAACUCCUAUUUUUCAGAGUAGAUAUUUUAUUUUUGAUUGGCUCACAACCUGUCAAUGCCUUUCCUUGGUAACCUCAUUAACAUAGUUAUCCAUCAUUCUCAUCAAAAAAAGCUAGUGUAAACAAGGAAACAAGUAUACGAUUAUCAAUUUACUAGGCCAUAGCCAAGGGGUUAAUAUCCACUCCAUUGGAUUCCUCUCCAUUGUUCUCUCCUAUCUAAAAUUUUAUAGCUCUAUAAAUUAGUCUGGUUGUGUUAUUUUGCUUCUCAUCUCUUAGAUCAACAUAUUAAAAAUGGUAUUCUUUUGCAUAUACUUUGGCAUUCAAUUUACAGUAAACAUUUGAAUGGUGAAAAAUGAGUCAAAAUUAUAACAAAAUGUGUAAUGAUUAAUUAGCAAGCAAAACUUAAUUAAAUUUAUACAAAAUUUUGUGUGUAACUAAUACGAGUGAUGAAAUACAUCAUCGAUGCAGUGGAAAGGAACUUAGUCCCAUAGCCAAGUAUGUAAUGAAGCUAACUAUGGAUGUAACAAGUUACCUUGAAAAAAAUUACAUUAUAUGCUUUACCUUCUAAAGUUAGAGUGUGAAGUAGACUCAAGGUGAUCCUUGUAGAAUAAUUGGGAAUACUGAGAUGCUAUGUUUUCUGCUGCAAAUUUAGAGGAAAUAAAAUCUGCUAUUACACCGAAAGAUUAUAUUUUUUUUUUAGAAAAAAUCAUUUUGGAUUCUGAACUUCUAAUUUAUUGACUUGGAUAAGUACAUUAUUCAAAACUCUCCACCACUAAAAGUAUCAACUUAGUUAAACUAUCAUCAUAUAGAACAGUAAUUGCACGGUUGGAAUAUUACCAUCUAUUAGUAUAGUUUGAGAAACAGAGGCUUUUAAAAUUAUUCAAAUCUCUUUUUUUUUUCUUUUGAUUCUAUGUUAAUUUGCCCAAAAUUCAUUGUAUUAGUUGUCUAGGUUCACUUGACAUAGCCUAUAACUAGAGGAAUCGACUUAUCGUACAAUUAUAAAGUUUAUACACGUUUUCUCCAAAAUUUAGAUAUUUUAUCUCCCGCUCUUUAUAUCAUCUGAAACGUAUUGGGUGGAAUUCAAGAAUGGAAGAUUAAAUAUCCAUACAAUCACAUCUCCUUUAAAGCUCUUUGGAGAAUCAAUUAUUUUACUAACGUCCUUUCCAGCAAUUAGCUCAAGCAGCAGGAAAAACCAAGUUGCAGAAGGAACCUAAGUCCCAUACUUCAUUCUUUGCCAAAAUUCUUCAACUUGAAGAAGUAAAAUAUGAUUCUGAAAAUUUAGAAAAUUUCGAAGUUAACAUUGAGCAUACAUCUUCAACCAAUUCUAUGGUGGAGUACUACUCUAUCCUGAUGAAGCCAAUUGCAACUUUUACCUUAAGCCUGUUUGAUUUUGGCAUGAAUUUGUAGAUCAAAAGUAUGUUGUUAAUUCCCAAAUUGGGCUGUCUUAUUCUUCCAAGAAUCAUGAGUUCAAAUAUAAAUUGCUAAUCAAUUCUGUCAAAAUGAUGGAAUUUCAACCUCAAAUAGAAAAAAAAAAAUGAAAAAAGAUAACAGAGUUUCUUGAGAGCAAAAAGCCAAUCGUUUUGCAGUAGUAUCUUCGUACACUGUUCCUAUUUUCCAAGUCCCAACUCAGCAAAUUCACACAUGUUUGAAAAGAAAUAAUACACAACCAUUACUAAAUUCAGCAAAACGAAAUUACACAAAAUACGCCAACAGCAAAUUAUCUGAAUAGCAUUUAUGCUGACAUGCAGAUUGACACCUCAUUCGUUGUUUCCGCAAGAAAAGAGCCACCAAUCCUCUGAACUUUUAGCUCAAUCUUCCACAAAAGCACCGAAGAAAGCCACAGACCCCAUAGAUAACAAAUUACAAUCUCAACAGGAAAAAUUACUGUAGCAGUCCCUCCCUGGUGAUAUCAUCAACAAAAAUUAGAGCAAUAACAAUUAGUUGUUCGUUCAUCAAUAUCAUUAAAAAAAAAAUGAAAAAAAGAGUAACAAUUAGUUGUUUUUUCAUCGAUUUCAGUGUUUUCGUGCAUGCAUUACAGGCAACUAAAGUAAAAAAAAGCUACCAAAAGGCAUAUAUAAAUUAAACUUUUUUAAAAGAAAAAACAUGAUUAUUUCUACAAGCCAAUUGAUGGUGAUGACAAAAAAAAAAAUUUACCAGAUAUUGCACCAGCUGAUGCCCUUCAAUCUAUGAUGAUGAUCUUCAGAUUCUCAUUUCCAUAAUUUUUCUGUGCUUCUUCAAUUUCCCGUACUAAAGAUUCGACACCAUUUCCACAUAAACUCACCUGAAUUGUUUCAAGAGUAGAUAUACGCCCUAAACAAGAAGGCAUCAUUUCCAAUUUAGAAAUUCCGCGGAGUUUUAAUUGCUGAAGACACGGGAAGUAAUCAUCACUGUCAGGGUCUGCCUCCUUCCACUCCACAACCUUUACAAAUUCCAAAGUCAAGACCCUGAGUUUAGGAAAUCCUCCCUCCAUCAGCUCCCAUUUUUGGCCGUCCGUUGCCUGAUCACUUAAUUUAAGGACUUCAAGAUUGGGUAGUUGUUCAAUCAGUGACAUCUUUCUACGGGGAAGACUCACACGGGAAAGACACAACUUUUUCAAAUUCAUGGGAAAGGAAAGCUCAACAUGUUCCCGCGAACCUGGGAAAACGUAGCUCCUUAAGGUGAGUGACUCUAGGCAUUCUAGUCGACUCAUGUUGCAGCAUACUGUAUUUGGUCGCCCCAAAUCGAAAAUUUUAAGUCGGUGAACGUUGGGAAUCCUUCUCAAUAGGUUCUCUCCCUCUUUAUCAAGAUCAAGAUGCAGAGUAGAGAGUGUGUCUAAAUUGGGUAAAGUAGAGAGGUUUUCAACAACGUUGUCGUUGGAAGAUAGACGAAUAACAACGCCACUCCUUGCAUGUACAUGCCUCAACUUCUUCAUGUUCCAGAUGCUAUCUGGCAACGAAACCAUCCGAUGAGAAUACAGACAAAAGGUUUCCAAAUGUGAGAGCUUGGCUAUAGAUGGUGGAAUGAAUUCCAUGCGCUCUGCUCUAAGGGAUAAGUACCUCAAACAAAGAAGUGAUUCGACUUCAGCUGGAAGCUCCUUCAGCAUUAGGUUAAUGCCCUCUAAAUUCAAAACUUUAAGUUGUUUGUAGAUGCAAAAAAGGAAGGAGAUGUUACGCAACUCAAACUUAAUAUAUCCUGGAAUAGCAUCAAAGAAUAGCAGAGUACCUAAACAUGGACAAAAUAGCUUUGACUUUAUAAAAUCUUCUCCACUGGAGCAAAUGGACAACCGAGGUAGAUUGGGAGGCUCAAUAAAGGUAGAAAGCUCAUCAUAUCCUCGCAGGACCUGAAGAAAUUUCUUUUCUUUCGCCUCGCCCUUACAGAACUCAAAUAUCAAAUCGUGAAUGUAACAAGUUUUGACUCCACCAAUGGA